GUUCGGGUUCACGCUGGACCGGUCGUACCUCCACACGAUAUUCAUGCUCGAGUGGACGCUCUUCCUGUGGCUGCUGGGGAAAACGGUCGGUUUCUCGUUAACACCAAGGAAUGUACGCACCAAGGUUCCAUGUUUUUUUGCUGUUGUGCCCCGUUUGAUCCUUGUGAAAAGAGAAGGAAUUGGGUUUUUUGUGUGUGCGCGGGUGUGCACGUGAGUGGUGUGCACUUGUAUGAUAGCAGCGAUUUUGUGUGAUGGUCGUGUAAAUUAUUAUGGGUUGAUUGCUCGUGGAUGUAAGGUGCAUGUACAGGUUUAGAUGAGUGCUUUAGAGCCUCAUGUGUGUGUGCGUGCGUGCGUGACGCUUGGCAUUGCAGGUUUAUAAUCUCGGGUUGUAAAAAAAAAAACUAUUUCGUUUAUCUUGGUUCUGCCGGCUAUUCUCCUGAAGAAAAUGUUUUCUGCUCCGUAUUUCGGUAUGAAUUCUAAUGGACAUAAGAUGGUAUUUCAUAUUCAGUACAUGUAUAAUAGUCGAAGCAUUUCAAUGCAAGUGAGGGUGUACAUCUAAUAAUAGUUUCUUUUUUGUGCGUUGGUGUUUCCUGUGUACAUCCUAACUAUAUAAAGGUUAGAUUUGUGCUCGUGCUUAUUGUGUUUGUAUCCACUUGAUGCUUCAUUUUUAAGUCAAUAAAAUUCAUCUUUCUAUUAAAAAAAAAAUCAAAACUCACUCAAAGUGAUGCUCUGGGUUGGCCCACUUUCCAAUAUCUGCAUAUGGUUCUUUCUAUAUAAUGUGUCCUCGUGGCGAUUGAUGGGCUCCUAUGCGGCGCUUUAGGUGCCGAAAAGGAUAGCUGAUGCUCGUUAUAGCUUUGCUCACAGGCCGCAGCUGAAUAAGACCACCUCCCUCUCGCGCUUGCUUGCUUUUGUCAAGUUUGCUGGUUUUUCUUUCAUUAUUACCUACAGUAUGACCUCCCCCCUAAAAGAAACUUACGGUAUUAUCUAGUGUACUACUUCCUCUGUCCCAAUUGCGACAAGUAAGUCGGGAUGGAGGCAGUACUUGCCUCAAAAAGAAAAGACAAAACUACAGUCCUACAUGGCCAGCUGUUUUUAUCUACUAUACCACAUGCCAGCAGUUUCCAAAAUCUAUGAUUUUUUUAAAAUUUUAUGAAUAAAAAUUCACGAAUUCGAGAAAAAGUUUGUGGUUUAAAAAACAUUAAAAAAAUUAUGACUUUGAAAAAUCAUGAAAUUUGGAAUAUAUAAUCAUGAAUUUCAAAAAAUUCAUGAUAUUUAGAAAAGUUCGUAAAUACUGGAAAAAUUCAAAGAUUUUGAAACAACAUAAGCUGAUUCAAAAAAAUUCUCAAAUUUAAUAAAGUGCUAGAUUUGAAAAUAGUUCAUGAAUUUGGAAAAAGAAGUUCAUGAAUUUGAAAAAAACUGUGAAUUCAAAAAAACAUGAAUCUGAAAAAAGUUCACCAAUUUUUAAAAAGUGUGUGGGUUCAAAAAAGGACGAUAUUUGUAAAAAAAAGAUCACGAAUUUUACAAAAGUUCAAAAAAAUUUGGAAAAGUUCAUGAAAGAUGGAAAUUUUUCUUAUUUUCUAGAUAAAAUCACAAAUUUGAAAAAACUUCAUGGGUUUUGAAUUUUUUAUAAAAACCGAAAUGAAUUUUUGAAUUUGAAAAACAUUCAUGCAUUUGAAAAAAGUUUAGGAAUUUGAAAAAAGUUCACGAAUUGAAGAAAUAGUUUACGAUUUUAAAAAAGAGUUCACAAAUUUUGAAAAAGGAAAAGAAAGAGAAAAAGAAAAGGGAAAAAACUAACAAAAACUGGCCGAAACAAAACCGAAAAAACAUGUGUCUUCUAGGCGCACAACAUGAAACAAAAUAAGUAUUAGUAUGCACAGUAGGUGAGUUGUCCAUGUUGGUUACUGUGUUUGGAAGGAAACAUUGAGGUUCCUACUUUGAAUCUCACUACCUACAACAUUUUUGAAGGUUCAAUAAAAUGGGCCAAGCCCAGGACGCAAGGGGGCGUGCGCUGGUUUGUUGACUUGCCUUUUGGCGUCGGGGUCUCAUUUACCCAAGAAAGAAACAAAGAAAAAAGAUGAAGAAAAAAACAAUGGGAAAAAUAAAAUAAAAGGAAGCCCGUGAAAACCGAGAAAAGAAAGAGAGAAAACCUGAAGAAAUUGUAGAGAAAGAAAGAAAGAAAAACAGUUAAACCCGAAAAAAGAAGAUAGAAAGCGGUGAAAAAGUAAAGAAAACAAAAAAAAAUACAACCGUAGAAAACCUAACCAAAAACUAGUACAACGGUCGUCCCAAGUGAGCGAGGAAAUGAAAUGAGCAAACCACUAAAUGGGCCGGCCCAGAAACAAAGCGCGAGGGAGUUUCUUCAAGCGAGCAGAGUAUAUAUCUCGCUAUAAGCGAGAUAUAGCUCUUGCAGCGAUUAAUGCCCUUUUUCCUUUGCUACUGUGACCCUAGUGAAUUAUUAUUUUUGUUUAGAAAUCAUCCAUGCAAUGUCCCAAAUAUUGAUCCAUAUGUUUACAUUUAAUUCUAUUGUUGCUCUCUUCAAAGUUACUUGUACUUGGCAGUUGUUGGGUAUUUUGUUACUAUGAUACUGCUUUGCCACAUACACCACUUCAUUCACGGUAUUGUCAUUGCUAGUAAUAAUUCUUUCAAACAAGCAUUUGUUUCAUAUGUGUUUGAAUUGACAACAUAACUGCUAAAUGCUAAAAAAUUAAAUGCUCUUUGGCUCUUUUGUGUCGAAUCAAUACAUUUGUGUUGUGAUCCCUACGUUUGUGGAUCAUCAUCUAUACAUUAUUGCAUCAAUAACAAGUGAACCACUCAUGUUUUGUUGGAAUCCUAAAAUGCAUAGUUUUGUAUUUAUUGACAAAAUGAUUGUGAAACUACUUAAAAUGGGCUAUUUCUUUAUAUUUUUACCAACCACAGUUUUAUAAGAAAUACUCGCACUUAUAGGAUGGUGAGCAUUUCCAAAAUCUGAAGUUUCCCUAGCAUCUUGAGCAAUAGGUAACAAGGCAAAAUGUGUUGUAACCCAUCCAAUGUAAACUGAAUUGGAUGACACACUUCUGGGACCAAAAUUCCUUUAUGUGUGCCACAUCGAAACAUCACAAGUCAAAUCAAUAUAGUGCAUUACUCCAAGUCAAAAUAAAAAUAGUGCACUACUCACUAGGUUCUCCGAUUAAAGCUCCAUGCUACAUCAAGGAAGCGAAAAGUGUGGAACCUAAUUACUUAAAGUGUGGAGGUCAAACAAGAUGCCUAAAUUGCUUGUCCCCUCUUAGUUCCUUUUUUGCGCGAAAUCUUUCGAUCUAUUCAUCAACUGACAAGGUAGUAUAAAGAACACCAGAAGUAAAAAAUACAUCCAUGUCCGUAGACCACCUAGCGACGACUACAAUCAUUGGAGUGAGCCGAAGGCGCGCCACCAUCUUCACCCCUCCCUAAAUGGAACCGGGCAAGCUUUGUUGUAGUAGAUAGUCGGGAAGUCAUCGUGCUAAGGCCUCAUAGGGCCAACACACCAGAAUAGCAACCACCGCCUAUGAAGAGAAGCGUAGAUCAAAAGGAUCUAACUUGUAGACACAUGGACAUAGAUGAACGGAGACAUGAUCCAGCUGGAUCCAUCGGAGAUAAACGCCAACUGAAUCCCACGAGAUCCGCCAGAAAUAAACCUCCACAAGCCCUCCAGCGAUGCUAGAAACACCACCAGGACGGGGACUAGGCGGGGAGAACCUUAUUCCAUCUUCAGAGAGUCGUCACCGCCUUGCCACUUGUUCACACACGAACACGUCACAUUGUACCCUCGACGCCAGGGGUGAUGCAUCGCAGCUCACGUCGAAGGAGACCCGACCGACAGCGCGAUACGCAGGACAGUCGACGGGUGCUUUUGUAGGCCCGAAGCCCCGCUUGCCCGGGAGGGACCCCGUCAGGGCUCGCGGCGGCUAUGGGCUGCUCCAGGUCGAGUCGCUCGCCCCUAGAGCCUCGUGGAUCCGCAGCCCUCCAACAUGAAGAACUAGCGAAGAACGAGAAGAAAGAUACAAGGAGAGAUAAAAAGUAGAUGAACACGAAAAAGUAAUAGAUUGAUUUGUUCGAUUGGUGUUGUUUCAAUUGGCCGUUACCCCUAACAUAUAUAAGAGGCGGUUGGACUUCCCGUACAAGCAAAUGAUUCAUCUAAGCUUUCCUUACAAGAAAAUUAUAUCAAUUCAUGUCCUACAUCUCUAUUUCCAGUCCAACUCGGAUUCAGCCCGAAUCUGUCCCAUACUUCUGUCUUGCUUCUUGCGCGGGCCAUAGAAAUCGCAUACUAACUCGGAUGGAGUUGAGUUCAGCAUCAAACUUGUCUGCCUCGAUGAUUUGCAUAAGACCGCACGGGCCACUUCUCCUUUUAAGGCUAUCUUUAUGACUUUCAGGGCCUAUCUUUAAAUGUGGGUUGGAUUCAAUUAUGCAGUUUUCUGAACUGUCCGAGUCUUGUAACAACUCUGUAGGCCGUGUACUAUCUCCGAUGAUGAUGACUCCAAAAGAAAAGUUGACCGUUUCAACGAUGUGAACAACUUCUGUGUAGAACACUUUUCCAUACAAGGUCGUCUGAAUAACCUUUUGAGCCCAUCUCCAACUUCUGGUCGGAUUGACUUUGACAGUCUCCACCCCGGCAAGCUUUCCACCCCGGCAAGCUUUCCACACCGGUAAGGUUUCUACCCCGGCAAGCUUCACACCGGCAAGCUUCCACACCGACAAGAUUUCAUGCCGGCAAGGUCUUCAUCCCGGCAAGCCUCAUUCAGCCGGCAAAGGAUGAAUAACUCACGCGACCCAUCAGACACCACCUAGGUGGGUGUCUGGUCCCUCACGUCACUCAGGACCGGUCCGCGAAGUGUUGCCUCUAACUUUUGCAUACGAACUCAGAUUGGGACACUUUUUAUAUCAAAAUCAAUCAGUUCGACGAGACAAAGACAAUUCAUGUAGAUCAUGUUUUCAUAUGAGGUCAUCUUGGGGGCUUAAUCGGCCAAACUGUACUCUAUAUAUAAGAUCUUGGUACUUUGAGCAUAGUUUCGGCCUUUAGGAUGAAAUCGGACGGCGACGGGCCAAACUUCAAAGAUGCACUUCUCCAUUUGAGGCCAUCUUAUUGACUGUGCCAAAAUUGGGUGUCAACACCACUAUGAGUAGGACACAAUCCCUAACAAAAAUAAAAAACAUGAAAAACUUAAGCCCUCCCACCGGCAAGGGCCAGGAUCCACUGCGCCUCCAUGACCCUAAGACCACAGGAGACGAGAUAGCCGACGGCAGCACCAGUGAAAGGAUCGAUAUAGUUGACUAGAGGGGGGUGAAUAAGCAACUAACAAUUUUUAGCUUUUCUUUACCAAUUUAAACUUUGCAUCAAAGUGGGUUGUCUAGAUAUGCAACUAGGUGAGCAACCUAUAUGAUGUAACAACAACAAGCACACAAGCAAGCAAGGGAUGCAACACAAUAUAAGCUUGCACAAGUAAAGGUACGAGAUAACCAAGAGUGGAGCCGGUGAAGACGAGGAUGUGUUACUGAAGUUCCUUCCCUUUGAGAGGAAGUACGUCUCCGUUGGAGCGGUGUGGAGGCACAAUGCUCCCCAAGAAGCCACUAGGGCCACCUUAUUCUCCUCACGCCCUCACACAAUGCGAGAUGUCGUGAUUCCACUAUUGGUGCCCUUGGAGGCGGCGACCGGACCUUUACAAACAAGGUUGGGGCAAUCUCCACAACUUAAUUGGAGGCUCCCAACGACACCACCGAAGCUUCACCACAAUGGAAAUUGGCUCCACGGUGACAUCAACCUUCUAGGGUGCUCAAACACCCAAGAGUAAUAAGACCCGCAAGGGAUUAGUGGGGGAAUCAAAUUUCUCUUGGUGGAAAUGUAGAUCGGGGCCUUCUCAACCAAUCCCUAGAAAAUCAACAAGGUUGAUUGGCUAGGGAGAGAGAUUAGGUGAAAAUGGACCUUAGAGCAACAAUGGAGCUUAGGGAUGGAAGAGGUAGUCAACUCGGAGAAGAAGACUCCCCUUAUAUAGUAAUAGGACAAAUCCAACCAUUAUCCACUUACCCAGCUUGCGACGUGCGAUACUACCACACCAGCCAUGCGGUACUACCGCAAGGGCCUGCGGUACUACCGCGGGGCACUGCGGUACUGCCGCAGGCGCGGCAGGAGCCAGACCGGCCCUGAUGCGUUGAAGCAAAGAGCGGUAUAACCGCCGGAGCGGUACUACCGCUCCCCCUUGCGGUACUACCACAAGCCAGGGUUUGUCUAGGCUGGGAAGGCAUGGACAUAUAAAAAUACAUCCAUGGCUACUUCCCUUGAGUUUCGAUUUGUGUAAAAACCCGACACAGUACUGUUGUGAACAUGGAGCGGUACUACCGCGUAGGGCGCGGAUGUAAAAAGUUACAUCCGCCCCUACUUCUGCUCGUGCUGUUGUGCCUAGCUCGAGGCCACGGUACUACUGCGCCCUGGGAGCGGUACUACCGCAAUGGACUGUAGUACUACCGCGACCGUGGCCGGUACUAUCGUAAGCCUCUGCGGUAUUACCGCUCCCAUGAGCAGUACUACCGCAUGCCCAACACAACCAACACUAGGAGUCCUUCAGUUUGCAGAGACACGGAUAAUUGGAGGAUGCUCCAAAGAGCCAACGGAAAGGUGGUGCAAAAGGAACAGACGUGUAGAUGAUGAUUCCAUCCAAACCUUUCCAAAGCGGAUCCCCUCUUAAUAGUACGACUUUCCUAGGACUCAAAUCCACUGAAAAGAAACACAGGGAAAACUCCGUCUUCACUAGACUCCGAGAGGCAACGAAUUGUCUUGUGCGUGAACAUGAGAUAUCUGAAAUGCUCAAUGCACACGAUUAGUCCACAAAAGCAUUGCCAUCAAUCGCCAAAACCACUAAGGGAUAAAUAUGCCCUUACAAUCUCCCCCUUUUUGGUGGAUUGAUGACAAUACGGGAUUUGCACAAAGGGAAAUAAAAUGAAGCAUAGGCAAACCCAACAUCUAUAAAAUAUAGACGGGCUCCCCCUAGAUGUGUGCUCUCUAGAGAAGUGCUUUGGACUGCACGACACACAUACUAGGAUCAACACUCCCCCUAUAUUUUAUAGACGAGGCAUAUAUUGAAACAAAAUAACUAACACUAAGCAAGGAUGCAAGAUAAUAAAUAUGAGCAUAAAGUAACGAGAGAACAAUCUACUAAGCAAACUAGAUAACAUGAUAAGACAAUGAGAUACGCUGAGGACAUAUGUCUUACACCAUAUGAUAGGCUCCUGGAUCCAGACGAAAACAAACACAAACCAACAAACGUGUUUCAACAGGACGAAAGCAAAGAGCGAGACACAACAACACAAAACUCGCAAAUCCUACACUCUCUCCCCCUUUGGCAUCGAGACACCAAAAAGGCAGAGAUGACACCUACGACACAGGUGGUAGCUCAAGCUGAAGCGAUCACUCGUCACGCUCCUCGUCGGUCUCGGCAGGAGGGAUGGUCUCCUCCUCAGAUUCAGUCUACUGGUAGCCCUGCUUCGCCAUCCAUUCAGCCUCUGGGGUGAUGUGCUUCUCGGACCCGCUUGAUACCUGCUCACCGAACGUCCUCAAGAUCCUCUUGUCGCGCCGGCGACUCUCCUUCUGAGCAACAUGAGACUGGUACUGGCCCUUGGCCUGUGAUAACCCACAAGUAUAGGGGAUCACAACAGUUUUUGAGGGUAGAGUAUUCAACCCAAAUUUAUUGAUUCGACACAAGGGGAGCCAAAGAAUAUUCUCAAGUAUUAACAGUUGAGUUGUCAAUUCAACCGCACCUGAAAGACUUAAUAUCUGCAGCAAAGUAUUUAGUAGCAAAGUAAUAUGAUAGUAGCGGUAACGGUAGCAAAAGUAACAGUAUUGGUUGUGUAGUGAUUGUAACAGUAGCAACGAAAAAGUAAAAAAGAAAAAACAAUAUGUGAAAAGCUUGUAGGCAAUGGAUCAGUGAUGGAUAAUUAUGUCGGAUGCGAUUCCUCAUGCAACAGUUAUAACAUAGGGUGACACAGAACUAGCUCCAGUUCAUCAAUGUAAUGUAGGCAUGUAUUCCGAAUAUAGUCAUACGUGCUUAUGGAAAAGAACUUGCAUGACAUCUUUUUUCCUACCCUCCUGUGGCAGCGGGGUCCUAUUGGAAACUAAGGGAUAUUAAGGCCUCCUUUUAAUAGAGUACCAGACCAAAGCAUUAACACUUAGUGAAUACAUGAACUCCUCAAACUACGGUCAUCACCGGUAAGUAUCCCGAUUAUUGUCACUUCGGGGUUAACGGAUCAUAACACAUAAUAGGUGACUAUAGACUGGCAAGAUAGGAUCAAGAACUCACAUAUAUUCAUGAAAACAUAAUAGGUUUAGAUCUAAAAUCAUGGCACUCGGGCCCUAGUGACAAGCAUUAAGCAUAGCAAAGUCAUAGCAACAUCAAUAUCAGAACAUAAUGGAUACUAGGAAUCAAACCCUAACAAAACUAACUCGAUUACAUGAUAAAUCUCACCCAACCCAUCACCGUCCAGCAAGCCUACGAUGGAAUUACUCACGCACGACGGUGAGCAUCAUGAAAUUGGUGAUGGGGGAAGGUUUAUGAUGAUGAUGGCGACAGAUUCCCCUCUCCGGAGCCCCGAACGGACUCCAGAUCAGCCCUCCCAAGAGAGAUUAGGGCUUCGCGGUAGCUCUAUAUCGUAAAACGUGAUGAAUCGUUCUCUCUGAUUUUUUUCUCCCCAAAGGUGAAUAUAUAGAGUUGGAGUUGAGGUCGGUGGAGCACCAGGGGGCCCACGAGGCAGGGGGCGCGCCCCCACCCUUGUGGACAGGGUGUGGGCCCCCUAGCCUUGAUUCUUUCGCCAGUAUUUUUUAUAUAUUCCAAAAAUAUUCUCCGUUGAUUUUCAGGUCACUCCGAGGACUUCUAUUUCUGCACAAAAAUAACACCAUGGCAAUUCUGCUGAAAACAGCGUCAGUCUAGGUUAAUUCCAUUCAAAUCAUGCAAGUUAGAGUCCAAAACAAGGGCAAAAGUGUUUGGAAAAGUAGAUACAUUGGAGACGUAUCAGCCUGCAUGCAGAACAGAGCCUUCAUCUUGUUCUUCAGCCUCUUAGCCUAAGAGGGCUCAGAAGAUGAAGGCGAGUAUCCAUCAGAGAUGUCCUCAUCUGCUUCCUCCUCCUCAAUCUCAUCCUCAUCCACAUCCAUCUUAGCAGCCUCCGCCUCAGCACGGGUAGUGGUGUUAGCCCACUUGUUCUUGAUGUGCAGCUUGAUAGGCUCGUGGCGGGUCCAGUUUGGAGCAGAAAAGUCUUCCUCCGGAAACAUCUUGUCCCAAGUCUUCGAGAUUAGAAGGUGCAGGUAUGGACCAUAGAUGGGAACUUUGUGAUUGUAGACCGCAAACCUGAGCUCACUCCACAUGAUAUGAGAGAUGUCCAGAGGCUGGGUGGCAUGACGACGCGCCUCCUCGCACAGAAGCAACAUAUCCAUGAGAUAAGCAUGCACCUUAUCUUUGUCACCGAUGCGAGGAAAGAGAGUGUUGUAGAAGAUUCGGUGCAUGACAUCUAGGAAGGGGUUGAGCACCCAAGUCUGAGUGCCAUUGGGAAGCUUGUUCUCCACAAGAAACGGUAGAAGCUUGUCCUUGUUGGCAGACUCGGCGUUGCCGUGAGGGCGGGCGCCAAUGGGCACAUCGGGCCCAUCAUCAAGGACAUGCAGGAGCGUCAUGAAUUCCUUCCAGGUAGCAGACAGCUUCUUCCCAUUGGUCAUCGAAGUCAUAGUCCACUCCCCAUCCAUGUGAAAGUGGACGGAGGCAAAGAACUGCGCCACUAGCUCCGGGUCAAAGUCCAUAUGGAACGCGAUGAAGUCUUCAAUGCCAAACUGCUCGACCAAGUCUAGUGUCUCACCAAAGUAGUUCCGGUCCUUCCUCAGAUGAUUCAUAUCAAUCCACUGCAUUGGAACAUAAAGGUUGUGCUUGGUCUUGAUCACAUCAAUGUAUAUGAGAUUCCGUGCUUGGUCCAGAAAAACUCACACCCUCUGACAUUCUCAUGAGGAUUCACAUAGGGAUCGAUCCUCCUUCGAAUGAUGAACUCUGAUUGAGGCAGCUCGUCCAUGCCCUGAACUGGCUCCUUGUUCCGGUUGGCAGUCUUCUUGACAUUGCGUUGUGGGGCAUUGGAGCCCUCCGGAGCUUCUUGAUUGCGAAGACGCUUGGAGCUUGUGUCGUGGCUUGGGUUCGAGCGACGGACAUUGGAGGCACCACCUAUGACACACAACACCAGAACACACGAGAGAAAUGAGAAGGAUCAAUGCAAAGACCACGGCAAAAACAAAUGAAACACGUAGAAAAAAGAUUGGGUAGUUGCCACAAGGAAGGUUCGAAGUCAGCGGUAGUAUCGCACCUCUAAGUGGAACUAAAAUUUUACUGCCGCUCUAGCCGCGGUAGUACCGCGCCGGGAUGGCACGGUAGUACCGCGCCUAGGGCGGAAGUAAAAUUUUACUUCCGCGCUGCUCCCGGUAGUACCUCCCCAGAGGAGCGGUAGUACCGUACGAUGUAGAAGCGGCCUGAGCGGUAGUACCAUACAGGAGGUGCGGUAGUACCGCUCGGGAUCAGAUCCGUGAAGAACAGAUCUAGGCACAUCCGCAACAUUUGAGUGGUACUACGGUUGAUCAAAAAUACCAUGUGGCAACAUACCAAAUAGCAUUUCUACUACACUACAACUCUCCUACAUCCUACUCUUGCAAAGAUUUGGCCUAAAAUCUCAAGAACAACACCCAGAACCUAGAGGCAAAACAACGAAGCAAAGAGAGAGGGAUUUGGGGAGAAACCUUGUUCCAUGGCAAGAGGACGGGGUGGGGAUCGAUCCCACCGGUCAGAAUGCGAGGAGAGCGGCCGGAGACGGAGAUCCGGCGAGGUCCUCCAACACCAUUCUUGGCCAGGAGAGAGAGAGACGAAGUGGGGAGACGGAGUUGAAUGGGUAUGGGGAGUUGGAACUCCCCCUGCCCGCUCUUAACCCCCACCCGCUCGUGACGGCGUGGUAGUACCACGGGUAAUCGCGGUAGUACCGCCCGGGCGGAAGUACCGCACGCAGGGCGGUAGUACCACUCAUCCAGCGGCAGUAAAAAAUUACUGUCGUGCUGGUUGUGGUAGUACCGUGCUCAUCUCCUGCGGUAGUAUUGUGGCUAGCCACGGUAGUACCGUAGACCCAAGAAAGUGCAUGUUUCGACAAAGAGAAAAACAUGGCCUUUGCACAACAGCCUUCAAGCGACCGGACACGCAAACGCGCACACACACACGAGGCACCUUAGACACACACAAGGCAGAAAGAAGAAGGCAAAAGACAACAAGGACUAACCACGAAACACAACCUCUCCAAAGAGGGUGGCCGGAGCCACCUAUGUUUGAGUCAGUUUGUAUGGCACCGCGAAGAGUUAUCCUUGGGCCCAUGAAAAAAACUCAUCUUUGAAGCACAAGUACCAUAAAAAAUGGCUAAUGUGAAAGAAUUGAUCAAUUUAUGCAUAAUGGGGGGAGGGAGAGUUCAUUGAGAGAACAACACUCCCCCUAUGUCCAUGCCUACACCUAAACAAGAUAUCAAGAUGAGUAUGGUGUGGUGUGCAAGGGUUCAAGCCACAUUGCUCGAAUCAAUGAUAUUUAGCUCAUGCCUUAACUCACGAAAUCUUGCUUCAUCCAAGGGCUUCGUGAAGAUAUCUGCAAGGUUAUCAUGAGUGUUGACACAGUUGAGCUUGAUCUCCCCUCGCCUAAUAUGAACCCGGAUGAAGUGAUACUGAAUCUCAAUAUGCUUCAUCUUGAAGUGUUGCACCAGGUUGAGAGAAAUCUUGAUGGCACUUUCAUUGUCACACCAAAGAGGCACUUUGUCACAAAUGACACUGUAAUCCUUUAAAGUUUGCCUUAUCCAUAGAAGUUGUGCACAACAACUACUGGCGGCCACAUACUCCGCUUCGGUGGACGAGAGAGACACACAACUUUGCUUCUUAGACCAACUCACCAAAGAGCAACCAAGGAAUUGGCACCCCCCGGAAGUUGACUUCAUAUCCACUUUGUCUCCCGCCCAAUCAGAGUCCGAGUAGCUUAUAAGGUUGAAGUUUGCUCCUCUUGGGUACCAUAAGCCAAAGUUUGGGGUAUGAGCCAAAUAUCGAAAGAUUCGCUUGACCACCACAUAGUGGCUUUCCUUAGGUGCGGCUUGAAACCGUGCACAGAUUCCCACACUCAAGAUGAUAUCCGGUCUAGAUGCACAAAGGUAAAGGAAGGAGCCAAUCAUGGAGCGAUAUACCUUUUGAUCCACCGCUUUACCAUUGGGAUCUAUGUCAAGUUGGCAUUUGACGGACAUUGGAGUGGAAGCCGGCUUGAAAUCACUUAGCUUGAAUCUCUUGAGCAUGUCUUGAGUGUAUUUGGCUUGGUUGAUGAAGGUUCCUUCUCUUCCUUGCUUGAUUUCGAACCCGAGAAAGAACUUCAACUCUCCCAUCAUGGACAUCUUGAACUUUGAGGUCAUGAGAGUGGCAAACUCCUCAUUGAAAGCUUUGUUAGGAGAACCAAAGAUAAUAUCAUCAACAUAUAGUUGGCAUACAAACAACUCCCCUUUGACCUUCUUGGUAAAAAGAGUGGGCUCGAUUUUACCAAUUCCAAACCCACAAUCUUGCAACAACUCGGUAAGGUGCUCAUACCACGCACGUGGGGCUUGUUUAAGGUCAUAUAGCGCCUUAUCGAGUUGGUACCCAUGAUCGGGAAAAUAGGGAUCCUCGAACCCCAGUGGUUGUUUGACAUACACCAACUCAUUAAUAGGACCAUUAAGAAAAGCACUCUUCACAUCCAUUUGUUGCAACUUAAAGUUAUGAUGAGAAGUAUAAGCAAUCAAUAGACAAAUGGAUUCAAGGUGAGCAACGGGACCAAAGGUUUCACCGUAGUCAAUACCCUCGACUUGGGAGUAGCCUUAUUGAGGGAGUCCUGGAUUAGGGGGUCUCCGAACAGCCGGACUAUAUCCUUUGGCCGAACUGUUGGACUAUGAAGAUACGAGAUUGAAGACUUCGUCCCGUGUCCGAAUGGGACUCUACUUGGCGUGGAAGGCAAGCUAGGCAAUACGGAUAUGUAUAUAUCCUCCUUUGUAACCGACCUUGUGUAACCCUAGCCCCCUCCGGUGCCUAUAUAAACCGGAGGGUUUUAGUCCGUAGGACAAGAUACAACCAUACCAUAGGCUAGCUUUUAGGGUUUAGCCUCUCUCAUCUCAUGGUAGAUCGACUCUUUUAAUACUCAUAUAAUCAAGAACAAUCAAGCAGGACGUAGGGUAUUACCUCCAUCAAGAGGGCCCGAACCUGGGUAAACAUCGUGUCCCCUGCCUCCUGUUACCAUCCGCCUUAGACGCACAGUUCGGGACCCCUACCCGAGAUCUGCCGGUUUUGACACCGACAUUGGUGCUUUCAUUGAGAUUUCCACUAUGUCAUCACCAUAAGGCUUGAUGGCUCCUUCGAUCAUCGCUAGCGAUGCGGUCCAGGGUGAGGCUUUCCUCCCCGGACAGAUCUUCAUAUUCGACGGCUUUGCACUGCGGGCCAAUUCGCUUGGCCUUCUGGAGCAGAUUGAGAGCUACGCCCCUGGCCAUCAGGUCAGAUUCGGAAACUUGAACUACAUGGCCGACAUCCGCGGAGACUUGAUCUUCGACUGAUUCGGGCCCAUGUCGGACGCGCCGUGUAGUCGUGACGAGCAUGACGUAACUCUGCCGUCGGACAAUGUUCGGGAGAUCGCAUCCGCAACUACUCUGUCCAUCAAUCCGGAGCAAGUUGCGCCAUCUGAGAGCAGAGGGAUGGACCCCACCAUGGAGGCCGCACUCUCAGUGGCGUUAGAGCUGGAUACUGACUUGACUCCUUACGAGAGCCAUGUCGCUGAACCACUUGAUUCAUCUCCGGCCACGGACUCCGAGCCGCUCAUAUCCGUGCCCGUCAAAUCCGACUGGGCGCCAAUCAUGGAGUUCACCUCCGCGGAUAUCUUUCAGCACUCACCUUUAGGAGAUGUGCUAAAUUCAUUAAGGUCUCUCUCCCUGUCAGGAGAACCUUGGCCGAACUAUGUCCAGCUAGAAUGGGAUGCGGACGACGAAGAAAUUCACUGCCCACCCACCACCCACUUAGUAGCCACUGUCAACGACUUAAUUGACAUGCUCGACUUCAGCUCCGAAGACUUCGACGGUAUGGACGACGAAGCCGGAGACGAACAGGAUCCACCACCCUUGGGGCAAUGGACCGCCACCUCAUCAUAUGAUAUAUAUACAUGGUGGACACCCCCAAAGAAGCCAAUGGCGCCGAGAUAGCGGAGGAUGACCCCUCCAAGAAGCAACCCAAGCGCCGACGUCAGCGGCGCCUCUCUAAGUCCCGCCACAGCAAGAGCAGUGAUACCGGCAUAGGAGAUAAUAACACUCCGGAUAGCGCUGAAGACAACAACAAUCCCCUCCAGCACGGUGCAGAGCUAGAGGACGAACAAGCUAGCCACCGGAGGAGGACAAUUACAUGCCUCUCUCCGAAGACGAGGCGAGCCUCGGCGACGACGAGUUUAUCGUGCCUGAGGACCCCGUCGAGAAAGAGCGCUUCAAGCGCUGUCUUAUUGCCACGGAAAAUAACCUAAAGAAGAAACAACAAUAGCUUCAAGCUGAUCAAGACUUGCUAGCAGACAGGUGGACCGAAGUCCUUGCGGCCAAGGAGCAUGAACUCGAGCGCCCGUCCAAGAGUUACCCAAAAUGCAGGUUACUACCUCACCUCGAGGAGGAAGCAUUGAAACCUCAUUCACCAGUGUAUGAUGCGUCUGACCGGCCACUACGCGGCCGAGCCAGGGAGGCAUUUCAGCCUAAAGAUCAGACCGCACCCUGUUGCCACUUAGUCAAAAAUACCAAGGCCCGGGGCAACAUAGAGGACCUGCGAGACAUCUUGGACAGUAAGGCAAAAAUUGCAAGGUCAAUAUAUGGGAAACGGGCACGUGCGCCCACACGGGACGAUGAUCAUCGCGCCGGAUACACCAAGAGUAAAUCCAGCCGGGCCGAAUAUAGCAGACAAGACUCAUACGAACUAUGUCGGGAUAUAGCCCGGCACAGAGGUGCCGCACACCCCCUAUGCUUCACUGAUGAAGUUAUGAAUCAUGAAUUCCCGGAGGGUUUCAAACUCGUAAAUAUCGAAUCAUACGAUGGCACAACAGAUCCUGCUGUAUGGAUUGAAGAUUUCCUCCUUCACAUCCACAUGGCUCGCGGUGAUGAUCUACAUGCCAUCAAGUACCUCCCACUAAAACUCAAAGGACCAGCUCGACAUUGGCUGAAUAGCUUGCCAGCAGAUUCCGUUGGCAGUUGGGAGGAUCUGGAAGAUGCAUUUCUUGACAACUUCCAGGGCACUUAUGUGCGACCGCCGGAUGCUGAUGACUUGAGCCACACAACCAAGCAGCCAGGGGAAUCGGCCAGACCAUUCUAGACACGGUUCCUGACUAAGAAAAAUCAAAUUGUAGACUGUCCGGAUGCAGAGGCCCUAGCGGCAUUCAAGCAUAACAUCUGCGACGAGUGGCUCGCCCGCCACCUCGGCCAGGAGAAGCCGAAAUCUAUGGCAACCCUCACGACACUCAUGGCCCACUUUUGCGCGGGCGAGGAUAGCUGGCUGGCUCGUAGCAAUAACACAUCGAGGAAUCUGGAUACCUCGGAUACCAAAGAUGCUAACGGUAGGCAGCAUCGUAAUAGACCAAAGUGCCGCAAUAACGGCGAUAACACCGAAGAUACGGCAGUUAAUGCCGGAUUCAGAGGCUCUAGAUCCGGUCAGCGGAAAAAGCCAUUUAAAAGAAACACUUCGGCUCCGUCCAGUCUGGAUCGCUCGUGUCAAAUCCACGGCACCCCCGACAAGCCAGCCAAUCACACCAACAGAGAAUGUUGGGUGUUCAAGCAGGCCGACAAGUUAAAUGCCGAGAAUAAGGACAAGGGGCCACACAACGAUGAUGAGGAGGAGCCCCGGCCGCCGAACACAGGAGGAUAGAAGGGGUUUCCCCCACAAGUGAAGACUGUGAACAAGAUAUACGCAACCCACAUUCCCAAGAGGGAGCAGAAGCGUGCACUAAGGGACGUCUACGCGAUGGAGCCCGUCGCCCCAAAGUUCAACCCAUGGUCUGCCUGUCCGAUCACCUUCGAUCGCAGGGACCACCCCACUAGCAUCCGUCAUGGUGGAUCCGCCACACUGGUCCUAGACCCCAUCAUUGACGGAUUUCACCUCACUCGAGUCCUUAUGGAUGGCGGCAGCAGCCUGCACCUGCUUUAUCAGGAUACAGUGCAAAAAAUGGGUAUCGAUCCCUCGAGAAUUAAACCCAGAAAAACCACCUUUAAAGGUGUCAUCCCAGGUGUAGAGGCCCAUUGCACAGGCUCAAUCACACUGGAAGUGGUCUUCAGAUCACCGGAUAACUUCUGAAGCGAAGAGUUAAUCUUCGACAUCGUCCCGUUUCGCAGUGGCUACCAUGCACUGCUCGAACGGACAACAUUUGCAAAAUUCAAUUCAGUGCUGCAUUACGCAUACCUCAAGCUCAAGAUGCGAGGACCUCGCAGGGUUAUAACAGUAAAUGGAAACACAGAACGCUCGCUCUGUACGGAAGAGCACACUACGGCCCUUGCAGCAGAGGCACAAAGCAACCUGUUCAGGUAGACCACUCAUUCAGUGUCACAGCCCCCGAACACCUUCAAGCGAGUCAGAAACAAGCUGCAACAGGAUCGCCUGGCACGAUCAGAGCUCGCCUAGCAGUCCAGCCCCUGUCCCAGUCCCAGUGAAGCGACGAAAACCGUGCCACACGUACAUAACUACGCAUUGAAAAUACCAUGAACAUAGGCGGGGGCACAAUCAGGACACGCCCCACAUUGUGGCUUAACCACACUAGGGGCUGUACACCUGUGACAUUCCUUUUCUCUUUCAGGGCCUAACUCUUUGGAAGCCCUUUCCGGCAGUACGAUUGCCGAACACAUUCCGGAAGAAACAACCAAGGCGGCAAGAAGCUAGGAUGAACACGGGAACCGCCAGGUGGUCUCUAGUAAUACUUGAUAUACCCGUUUUUCACUAUUUAUGCAUAGCUUGCCCUGGGAUAAGACAUUUCGAAUUGUCCUACUUUAUGCUUAUUGCACUACUUGUACCAGUACGCUUCGACGUAUUAUUCAAAUAACAAUGCAUAUCAUUAAUCUGUCAUUGCAUUAUUUAAGUUUUUCUCUUUUCUCUUAUACGUCCAUUUACGACAAUCCGCACCCGCACGUUCAGGUACAGUCAGUACGCCAGGAGCUCUCGUUUACCCCACAAUACGACGCAGGAAAUACGAACACUUUCGACAGUGCGGCACCCCGAACUUAUAGCAUUAUAUGCAUCAGCUCCGAAUCAUGUCUUUGGUCAAAUGUUGGGUCGCCCGGCUCCCAUGCUUUGGUACCUUACGUUCCGCUAUAUCGGCUAAGGUAGCGGUGGGAGAACUACUGCGAUUGUGUCCUGGUUCUUCUGGACGAGAACCUCAGUAGAGAAAGCCAAAAACUGACUGUCAUGAUAAGGCGAGAGACUGGUCGCUGUUCGAGAGGUCUCAAGUCCUUAAAGACUUUUUCCGCUUCGGGCAAGGAGUCGGCCUUGUCCGGCUUAGGCGUGUAUAGCGCCCCAAAUUCGUCCCUACGAAUACCAGGGGCUUCGCCAAAAAUUUAAAAUUAUAGACUUCUAUGGCUAAGUGAGAGUGAUAAAGCAUUAUAGUCCGAUUGCCUGGUUCACUGCACUGAACACCUCCCUUAAAGGACCCAAAAUUGGGGUAAAGAUUGUUCAGAUUUACCCCGAACACCCCAGAACUAGUUACAUGGGGGUAGAAGCCGACGACUGGCCAACUCUCAGAUUUUAUAAAAAUGGCCGCACAGAAGGUAAUAUUUUAAAUUAAGAAAGCGUCGCAUGGUGCAAAAGAACUCGUUUCAUAUUACAGGAUCACAUGGGCAUGUUCAUUCAAAAAUUACAUCCUUGGCACCCUCAUCUGCCACUAAGCGGGAACCCUUCAGGACGCUCUCACAAUAAUUCUCAGGGCAGCGAUGCUCCUUGCCCUCCGGCGGCCCCUCCUUCACCAACUUCACGACGUCCAGCUUCGCCCGGGCAAUAGCCAUGCGUGCACCUUCGAUGCAGACAGACCAUUUGAUGACUUCAAGCCAUGGGCAGGCUUCCACAAGCCGCCUCACCAGACCGAAGUAGCUGCCGGACAGGGGCUUGCCAGGCCACAUCCGGACUAUAAGGCCCCCCAUGGCCUGUUCGGCCGCCUUGUGAAGUUCGACCAACUACUUCAGCUGGUCUCUCAAGGACAUGGGGUGUUCGGUCCUAGUAUACUGAGACCAGAACAACUUCUCCGCUGAGCUCCCUUCCUCAGCCCGGUAAAACUCCGCGGCAUCCAGUACACUGCGAGGAAGAUCUGGAAACGCUCCUGGAGAGCUCCGAACUCGGGUAAGAAAAAGGAAAGUCUCCUUCACAUGCUUGCUUUGCAUAUUGAAUGCCUUACCCGUUGCUAUCUUCUUCACCGUGUCAAUCUCCUGGAGGGCCUUGUGGGCUUCGGCCUUGGCGCUCCGGACGCUUUCAAGCGCCUGCGCGAGCUCGGACUCUCGCGUCUUGGAGUCCAGCUCCAAGGACUCAUGCUUUUUGGCGAGAGCCUCUAGCUCUUGAUGCACCUCGCCUACUCGGGCUUCUUGUUUCUCCUGUUCCAGGCGUUCUUUGGCCGCUUUGUCUUCGGCCUCAGACACCGCCUUCCUCAGGGUCUCCACCCCGGUCGUGGCCCCUGACAAAUUCAUGAUCGAUCCUAUUAGUUUACACCCGAACUUCUUUUUAACUAUAUAGACAGGGGUAUAUCUUACCUUUGCUCUCUUCGAGCUGCCCCUUGGUGAGGAUGAGCUCAUCCUCGGACCGCUUCAGGGCCUGCUUCAGCGCAGAAACCUCCACAGUACGUGCGGCAGCAGCCAGCAGUGAAGCCUGCACAUACACAUAGACAUACUCUAAUUAGACUCCUGAGUUAUCAUUUGAUCCUCUAUUCGGUUUUUCUUCACGAAUGCCGAACAGAGCAUCAGGGGCUACUAUCUAUGCGGUAAUAUUUUCUUAUAUUUUGAAUGCUUACCUCAAAGCCUGUUAGGAGGCUGGCGCAAGCUUCGGUCAGUCCGUUUUUGGCGGGCUGAACCUUCUCGACCACCGCACUCAUCAUAGUGCGGUGCUCUUCUGCGAUAGCGCUAUGAAGCGCUUCCAGCAAGGUGUCCGGUGCCUCUGGUUGGACAGAGGACACCAGCACGGAUGGUUGGCCCCCCUUAAUGGGGGACCGCCUGCCGGAGUCCGGAAUCAUCGAAGGUUCCGGCGCAGUGUCCGGCUGGGGCCCGAACUCGAAGCCCGUAGGAGCCUUGCUCCCUUGGUACCCAGGGCCCAGGAGGUCGCCGUGAGGCGCCCCCAGGAUCACCUCCCCUUGGCUCGGUGCCUUUUGAGACAACACCUCAGCGUUGUCCGUAGGGCGAGGGGUGGAAGCCGUCGGAGGAGAACCGCUGUUCAUAUCCGACGAGUCCAAAGAGUCGCUCGACGAGGGUACGUCGAGAUGAGCUCGGGAAGGACUGCAUGAUCAUGUUCGGCAUGAGGAAAGGCAGUACAAUAAAACAUACCAUGAAGCACUAUGGUGUCCGGACACUUACGGCUUCGCGAGGGGCUUGUCCCUGGGUAGCCACUCGUCGCCGCUGUCGUCGGCCGUCGUGGCACAGUCCGGAGGGAGGGUCUUUCCCUUCUUGGACCCUUCGGCCUCCCUGGAUGGGUCGACCUUCCUUUUCUUGUCUCCCCCGGCUGGGGGGGAGAGCUUUUCUCCUCCUCCUCGUUUCCGUGGGAGGAGUGCAUGUCAGAGUCAUCGGACGAUGAGCCCGAUGUAACCUUGCACCGGAGACCCUUUCGGGUCCCCGUGGCCUUCUUCUUGGCCUUCUUUUCCGGCACCUCGUAAGGUGCCGGAGUCAACAUCUUCGCUAGAAAAGCGUCUGCAGGAUCUUUGGGCAGGGGGGCUGGGCAAUCAAGCUGCUCCGCUGUCUCUCUCCAGUCCUGUUAAUAACAUGAAAGCUUAGAUCCAGCACAUAACUAAACCAGGGCGAAUAAAUACCCUGAGAGAUAUAAAAUCCUACCGGAUGGGCGCGGCGCUUUGCGCUGAGUCUGCGGUCCUCGGUAAGGGAGGGAGGCAUCUCGGCGCCCUUGAACAGCACCCUCCAGACGUCCUCGUGCGUCGUGUCGUAGAGCUCUCGUAGCGUCUGGUGCUUGGCCGAGUUGAACUCCCACAAAACAAAUGCCCGUCGUUGGCACGGAAGGAUCCGGUGGAAGAGCAUAACCUGGACCACCUUGACAAGCUUGAUUUUCUUGUUCGUCAUGUUCUGGAUGCAGGUCUGGAGUCCGGUCAGCUCUACCGCAGAACCCCAGGACAGACCCUUCUUUUUCCAGGAGGUGAGCCGCGUGGGGAUUCCGAAUUGAAAUUUGGGGGCCGCCACCCAGUUGGAGUCGCGCGGCUCGGUGAUGUAGAACCACCCCGAUUGCCACCCCUUUAUGGUAUCCACGUAGGUGCCCUCGAGCCAGGUGACAUUAGGCAUCUUGCCCACCAUGGCGCCUCCGCACUCUGCUUGCUGGCCACCCACCACCUUCAGUUUGACAUUGAAGGUUUUCAGCCAUAGGCCAAAGUGGGGCCUGAUGCGGAGGAAGGCCUCGCACAUGAUGAUAAACGCCGAGAUGUUGAGGAUGAAAUUGGGGGCCAGAUCAUGAAAAUCCAGCCCGUAGUAGAACAUGAGCCCACGGACAAACGGGUGGAGAGGAAAUCCCAGUCCGCGAACGAAAUGGGUAAGAAAAACUACCCUCUCAUGGGGUUCGGGCGUGGGGACGAUCUGCCCCGCAUUUGGCAGCCGGUGCGCGAUAUCCGCGGCCAAGUAUCCGGCUUCCCGUAACUUUUUGAUGUUCUCCUCCAUGACGGAGGAGACCAUCCACUUGCCUCCUGCUCCAGACAUGAUUGGAGUGGUUCGAGAAGAAGAACGCGAGCUUGGGCGCUAGAGCUCGAGUGUGCGGGAAUGGGUAAGAGAGAAGGAAGGAGGCGUGGGUGAAAAAGUAAAUCUUUGUCCCUUUAUAAGGGCAGAGGAGGCGAUGAUUCUCCCCACUUGGCUGGCAAAAACCGCUUAUUCCCCAGGCACCGUAAUUGAUGGCGCGGUUGGGUUACCCACGCCCGUAUUGAUGAGAAUCCCGUGAUAAGGGGAACAUGAUCUCUGCUUUGACAAGACGUAUCAAGAAAACUGCCUCGCGAUAUAUGUGGAGCUGGUUGAGAAAAGCGGUUUGAAUAAUAACCGGGGCCAUGGUGUGAUGUGAUGCUGUCAAAACGUGUCAGCAGAUUAGAUUUGUGGAAAUAUUAUUCUCUCUACGGUGGUAUGUGGAACUUAUUUUGCAGGGUCAGACACUAUCCUCAUAUUCAAACUCUUCCAUGGUGUAUUCGGAGGAGGACCCCGCCUUGCAAUGCCAAAGACAAUACUGCGCGCCGGACUCAUCGUCAUUGAAGCCUGGUUUAGGGGCUACUGAGGGAGUCCUGGAUUAGGGGGUCUCCGGACAGCCGGACUAUAUCCUUUGGCUGGACUGUUGGACUAUGAAGAUACGAGAUUGAAGACUUCGUCCCGUGUCCGGAUGGGACUCUACUUGGCGUGGAAGGCAAGCUAGGCAAUACAGAUAUGUAUAUCUCCUCCUUUGUAACCGACCUUGUGUAACCCUAGCCCCCUCCGGUGCCUAUAUAAAUCGGAGGGUUUUAGUCUGUAGGACAAGAUACAAUCAUACCAUAGGCUAGCUUUUAGGGUUUAGCCUCUCUGAUCUCGUGGUAGAUCGACUCUUGUAAUACUCAUAUCAUCAAGAACAAUCAAGCAGGACGUAGGGUAUUACCUCCAUCAAGAGGGCCCGAACAUGGGUAAACAUCGUGUCCCCUGCCUUCUGUUACCAUCCGCCUUAGACACACAGUUCGGGACCCCCUACCCGAGAUCCGCUGGUUUUGACACCGACACUUAUGCUACCAACCGAGCCUUGUUGUUGCGAACGGUAAUCCCAUGAUCAUCUUGCUUAUUCUUGAAUAUCCACUUGGUUCCAAUGACAUUAUGGUUCCCCGUUGGCCUUGGAACCAAUCUCCACACCUUGUUGUGCUCGAAGUUGUUGAGUUCUUCAUGCAUGACAUUAAGCCAAUCCGGAUCCUCGAGUGCCUCAUAGACCUUUUGGGGUUCAACACAAGACACAAACGCAUGAUGUUCACAAUAGUUUGCUAAUUGUCUAUGAGUGUUUACCCCCUUUCGUAUGCUUCCAAGCACAUUCAUCAUGAUAUGACCCUUGGUAGUGAGCUUGGAUGCAAUCUUGGCAGCACGAUGCUCCAAUUCCUCCUCAGGAGUGAGUUGAGGAGCGGUAACUUGAUCAUCUUGUGCGUUGUCUUGAGCUUGUUCUUGAUCUUGAUCUUUCUCUAGAUCUUGAACUUACUCGAAGGUGAGAACUUGAUCUUGGGCUUCACUUGGUGGUUCAACACCAUCUUGAGGUUGAUCUUGCCCUUGAUCUUGUUCAUGGGGUUGAGGGCCUUCACUUUGUUCUUUGGAAGCAUGUGGGUCUUGGGUUGGUGAUGGUUCCUAAGGGAGUCCUGGAUUAGGGGGUCUCCGGACAGCCGGACUAUAUCCUUUGGCCGGACUGUUGGACUAUGAAGAUAUGAGAUUGAAGACUUCGUCCCGUGUCCGGAUGGGACUCUACUUGGCGUGGAAGGCAAGCUAGGCAAUACAGAUAUGUAUAUCUCCUCCUUUGUAACUGACCUUGUGUAACCCUAGCCCCCUCCGGUGCCUAUAUAAACCGGAGGGUUUUAGUCCGUAGGACAAGAUACAAUCAUACCAUAGGCUAGCUUUUAGGGUUUAGCCUCUCUCAUCUCGUGGUAGAUCGACUCUUGUAAUACUCAUAUCAUCAAGAAUAAUCAAGCAGGACGUAGGGUAUUACCUCCAUCAAGAGGGCCCGAACCUGGGUAAACAUCGUGUCCCCUGCCUCCUGUUACCAUCCGCCUUAGACGCACAGUUCGGGACCCCCUACCCGAGAUCUGCCGGUUUUGACACCGACAUUGGUGCUUUCAUUGAGAGUUCCACUGUGUCGUCACCAUAAGGCUUGAUGGCUCCUUCGAUCAUCGCUAGCGAUGCGGUCCAGGGUGAGGCUUUCCUCCCCGGACAGAUCUUCAUAUUCGGCGGCUAUGCACUGCGGGCCAAUUCGCUUGGCCUUCUGGAGCAGAUUGAGAGCUACGCCCCUGGCCAUCAGGUCAGAUUCGGAAACUUGAACUACACGGCCAACAUCCGUGGAGACUUGAUCUUCGACGGAUUCGGGCCCAUGUCGGACGCGCCGUGCAGUCGUGACGAGCAUGACGUAACUCUGCCAUCGGACAAUGUUUGGGAGAUCGCAUCCGCAACUACUCCAUCCAUCAAUUCGGAGCAAGUCGCUCCAUCCGAGAGCGAAGGGAUGGACCCCGCCAUGGAGGCCGCACUCUCAGUGGCGUUAGAGCCGGAUACUGACUUGACUUCUUACGAGAGCCGUGUCGCCGAACCACUUGAUUCAUCUCCGGCCAUGGACUCCGAGCCGCUCAUAUCCGUGCCCGUCGAAUCCGACUGGGCGCCGAUCAUGGAGUUCACCUCCGCGGAUAUCUUUCAGCACUCACCUUUAGGAGAUGUGCUAAAUUCAUUAAGGUCUCUCUCCCUGUCAGGAGAACCUUGGCCGAACUAUGUCCGGCUAGAAUGGGAUGCGGACGACGAAGAAAUUCGCUGCCCACCCACCACCCACUUAGUAGCCACUGUCGAUGACUUAACUGACAUGCUCGACUUUGGCUCCGAAGACUUCGACGGUAUGGACGACAAAGCCGGAGACGAACAGGAUCCACCGCCCUCGGGGCACUGGAACACCACCUCAUCAUAUGAUAUAUACAUGGUGGACACCCCCAAAGAAGCCAAUGGCGAUGAGACAGCGGAGGAUGACCCCUCCAAGAAGCAACCCAAGCGCCAACGUCAGCGGAGCCGCUCUAAGUCCCUCCACAGCAAGAGCAGUGAUACCGACACAGGAGAUAAUAACACUCCGGAUAGCGCCGAAGACAACAACAAUCCCCUCCAGCACGGUGCAGAGCUAGAGGACGAACAACCUAGCCCUCCAGAGCAGGCAGCAGAUGGAUAACCGGAGGAGGACAAUUACAUGCCUCUCUCCGAAGACGAGGCGAGCCUCAGCGACGACGAGUUUAUCGUGCCUAAGGACCCCGUCGAGCAAGAGCGCUUCAAGCGCCGCCUUAUGGCCACGGCAAAUAGCCUAAAGAAGAAACAACAACAGCUUCAAGCUAAUCAAGACUUGCUAGCAGACAGGUGGACCGAAGUCCUUGCGGCCAAGGAGCAUGAACUCGAGCGCCCGUCCAAGAGUUACCCAAAGCGCAGGUUACUACCUCACCUUGAGGAGGAAGCAUUGAAACCUCAUUCACCAGUGUACGAUGCGGCUGACCAGCCACUACGCGGCCGAGCCAAGGAGGCAUUUCAGCCUAAAGAUCAGACCGCACCCCGUCGCCACUCAGUCAAAAAUACCAAGGCCCGGGGCAACACAGAGGACCUACGAGAUAUCUUCGACAGUAAGGCAAAAAUUGCAAGGUCAAUAUAUGGGACACGGGCACGUGCGCCCACAUGGGACGAUGAUCGUCGCGUCGGAUACACCAAGAGUAAAUCCGGCCGGGCCGAAUAUAGCAGACAAGACUCAUACGAACUACGUCGGGAUAUAGCCCGGCACAGAGGUGCCGCACACCCCCUAUGCUUCACUGAUGAAGUUAUGAAUCAUGAAUUCCCGGAGGGUUUCAAACCCGUAAAUAUCGAAUCAUACGAUGGCACAACAGAUCCCGCUGUAUGGAUUGAAGAUUUCCUCCUUCACAUCCACAUGGCUCGCGGUGAUGAUCUACAUGCCAUCAAGUACCUCCCACUAAAACUCAAAGGACUAGCUCGGCAUUGGCUGAAUAGCUUGCCCGCAGAUUCUGUUGGCAGUUGGGAGGAUCUGGAAGAUGCAUUUAUUGACAACUUCCAGGGCACUUAUGUGCGGCUGCCGGAUGUUGAUGACUUGAGCCACAUAACCUAGCAGCCAGGGGAAUCGGCCAAACAAUUUUGGAUAUGGUUCCUGACUAAGAAAAAUCAAAUUGUAGACUGCUCGGAUGCAGAGGCCCUAGCGAACAUUCAAGCAUAACAUCCGCGACGAGUGGCUCGCCCGCCACCUCGGCCAGGAGAAGCCAAAAUCUUUGGCAGCCCCCACGACACUCAUGACCCGCUUUUGCAUGGGCGAGGACAGCUGGCUGGCUCGCAGCAACAACACAUCAAGGAAUCCGGAUACCUCGGAUACCAAAGAUGCUAACGGUAGGCAGCGUCGUAAUAGACCAAAGCGCCGCAAUAACGGCGAUAACACCGAAGAUACGGCAGUUAAUGCUAGAUUCAAAGGCUCUAGAUCCGGUCAGCAGAAAAAGCCAUUUAAAAGAAACACUCCGGCUCCAUCCAGUCUGGGUCGCAUACUGGAUCGCUCGUGUCAAAUCCACGGCACCCCCGACAAGCCAGCCAAUCACACCAACAGAGAAUGCUGGGUGUUCAAGCAGGCCGGUAAGUUAAAUGCCGAGAAUAAUGACAAGGGGCCGCACAGUGAUGACGAGAAGGAGCCCCGGCCGCCGAACACAGGAGGACAGAAGGGGUUUCCCCCACAAGUGAAUACGAUGAACAUGAUAUACGCAACCCACAUUCCCAAGAGGGAGCGGAAGCGUGCACUAAGGGACGUCUACGCGAUGGAGCCCGUCGCCCCAAAGUUCAACCCAUGGUCUGCCUGUCCGAUCACCUUCGAUCACAGGGACCACCCCACUAGCAUCCAUCAUGGUGGAUCCGCCGCACUGGUCCUAGACCCCAUCAUUGACGGAUUUCACCUCACUCGAGUCCUUAUGGAUGGCGGCAGCAGCCUGAACCUGCUUUAUCAGGAUAUAGUGCAAAAAAUGGGUAUGAUCCCUCGAGAAUCAAACCCAGAAAAACCACCUUUAAAGGUGUCAUCCCAGGUGUAGAGGCCCAUUGCAUAGGCUCAAUCACAUUGGAAGUGGUCUUCAGAUCAUCGGAUAACUUCUGAAGUGAAGAGUUAAUCUUCGACAUCGUCCCAUUUCGCAGUGGCUACCAUGCACUGCUCGAACGGACAACAUUUGCAAAAUUCAAUGCAGUGCCACAUUACGCAUACCUCAAGAUCAAGAUGCGAGGACCUCGCAGGGUUAUAACAGUAAAUGGAAACACAGAACGCUCGCUUUGUAUGGAAGAGCACACUGCGGCCCUUGCAGCAGAGGCACAAAGCAACCUGUUCAGGCAGACCACUCAUUCAGUGUCACAGCCCCCGGACACCUUCAAGUGAGUCCAAAACAAGCUGCAAAAGGAUCGCCUGGCAUGAUCAGAGCUCGCCUAGCAAUCCGGCCCCAGUCCCAGUCCCAGUGAAGCGACGAAAACCGCGCCGCACGUACAUAACUACGCAUUGAAAAUACCAUGAACAUAGGCGGCGGCACAAUCAGGACACGUCAUGCAUUGUGGCUUAACCACACUAGGGGUUGUACACCUGUGACAUUCCUUUCCUCUUUCAGGGCCUAACUCUUUGGAAGCCCUUUCCGGCAGUACGAUUGUCGGACAUAUUCCGGAAGCAACAACCAAGGCGGCAAGAAGCUAGGAUGAACACGGGAACCGCCAGGUGGUCUCUAGUAAUACUUGAUAUACCCAUUUUCACUAUUUAUGCAUAGCUUGCCCUGGGAUAGGACAUUUCGAAUUGUCCUACUUUAUGCUUAUUGCACUACUUGUACUAGUACGCUUCGACGUAUUAUUCAAAUAACAAUGCAUAUCAUUAAUCUGUCAUUGCAUUAUUUAAGUUUUUCUCUUUUCUCUUAUACGUCCAUUUACGACAAUCCGCACCCGCACGUUCGGGUACGGUCAGUACGCCAGGGGCUCUCGUUUACCCCACAAUACGGUGCAGGAAGUCCGAACACUUUCGACAGUGUGGCACCCCGAACUUAUAGCAUUAUAUGCAUCAGCUCCGAAUCAUGUCUUUGGUCAAAUGUUGGGUCACCCGGCUCCCAUGCUUUGGUACCUUACGUUCCGCUAUAUCGGCUAAGGUAGCGGUGGGAGAACUACUCCGAUUGUGUCCCGGUUCUUCCGGACGAGCACCUUAGUAGAGAAAGCCAAAAACUGACUAUCAUGAUAAGGCGAGAGACUGGUCGUUGUUCGAGAGGUCUCAAGUCCUUAAAGACUUUUUCCGCUUCGGGCUAGGAGUCGGCCUUGUCCAGCUUAGGCGUGUAUAGCGCCCCAAAUUCGGCCCUCCGAAUACCAGGGGCUUCGCCAAAAAUUUAAAAUUAUAGACUUCUAUGGCUAAGUGAGAGUGAUAAAGCAUUAUAGUCUGAUUGCCUGGUUCGUUGAUGAACACCUCCCUUGAAGGACCCAAAAUUGGGGUAAAGAGUGUUCAGAUUUACCCCGAACACCCCAGUACUAGUUACAUGGGGGUAGAAGCCGACGACUGGCCAACUCUCAGAUUUUAUAAAAACGGCCACACAGAAGGUAAUAUUUUAAAUUAAGAAAGCGUCGCAUGGCGCAAAAGAACUCGUUUCAUAUUACAGGAUCACAUGGGCAUGUUCAUUCGAAAAUUACAUCCUUGGCACACUCAUCUGCCACUAAGCGGGAACCCUUCAGGACACUCUCACAGUAAUUCUCGGGACAGCGAUGCUCCUUGCCCUCCGGCGGCCCCUCCUUCACCAGCUUCACGGCAUCCAGCUUUGCCAGUGCACCUUCGCUCGGGCAAAAGCCUUGCGUGCACCUUUGAUGCAGACGGACCGCUUGAUGACUUCAAGCCGUGGGCAGGCUUCCACAAGCCGCCUCACCAAACCGAAGUAGCUGCCGGACAGGGGCUCGCCAGGCCACAUCCGGACUAUAAGGCCCCUCAUGGCCUUUUCGGCUGCCUUGUGAAGUUCGACCAACUGCUUUAGCUGGUCGCUCAAGGACACGGGGUGUUCGGUCCCAGUAUACUGAGACCAGAACAACUUCUCCGCUGAGCUCCCUUCCUCAGCCCGGUAAAACUCCGCGGCAUCCAGUACAUUGCGGGGAAGAUCUGCAAACGCUCCUAGAGAGCUCCGAACUCGGGUAAGAAAAAGGAAAGUCUCCUUCACAUGCUUGCUUUGCAUAUUGAAUGCCUUACCCGCUGCUAUCUUCUUCGCCGCGUCAAUCUCCUGGAGGGCCUUGUGGGCUUCGGCCUUGGCGCUCCGGACGCUUUCAAGCGCCUGCGCAAGCUCGGACUCUCGCAUCUUGGAGUCAAGCUCCAAGGACUCGUGCUUUUUGGCGAGAGCCUCGAGCUCUUGCUGCACCUCGCCUACUCGGGCUUCUUGUUUCUCCCGUUCCAGGCGUUCUUUAGCCGCUUUGUCUUCGGCCUCGGACACCGCCUUCCUCAGGGUCUCCACCUCGGUCGUGGCCCCUGACAAACUCAUGAAUAUCCUAUUACUUUACACCCGAACUUCUUUUUAACUAUAUAGACGGGGGUAUAUCUUAGCUUUGCUCUCUUCGAGCUGCCCCUUGGUGAGGCUGAGCUCGUCCUCAUACCGCUUCAGGGCCUGCUUCAGCGUAGAAACCUCCACAGUACGUGCGGCAGCGGACAAUAGUGAAGCAUGCACAUACACAUAGACAUACUCUAAUUAGACUCCUGAGUUAUCAUUUGAUCCUCUAUUCGGCUUUUCUUCACGAACGCCGAACAGAGCAUCAGGGGCUACUAUCUGUGCAGUAAUAUUUUCUUAUAUUUUGAAUGCUUACCUCAAAGCCUGUUAGGAGGCUGGCACAAGUUUCGGUCAGUCCGUUUUUGGCGGACUGAACCUUCUUGACCACCGCACUCAUGAUAGUGCGGUACUCUUCUGCGAUGGAAGCGCUGCGAAGCGCUUACAGCAAGGUGUCCGGUGCCUCUGGUUGGACAGAGGACACCGGCACGGAUGGUUGGCCCCCCUUAAUGGGGGACCGCCUGCCGGAGUCCGGAACCAUCGAAGGUUCUGGCGCAGUGUCCGGCUGGGGCCUGAACUCGAAACCCGUAGGAGCCUCGCUCCCUUGGUACCCAGGGUCCAGGAGGUCGCCGUGAGGCGCUCCCAUGAUCACCUCCCCUUGGCUCGGUGCCUUUUGAGACAACACCUCGGCGUUGUCCGUACGGCGAGGGGUGAAAGCCGUUGAAGGAGAACCGUUGUUCAUAUCCGACGAGUCCAAAGAGCGCUCGAUGAGGGUACGUCGAGAUGAGCUCGAGACGGACUGCAUAAUCAUGUUCGGCAUGAGGAAAGGUAGUACAAUAAAACAUACCAUGAAGCACUAUGGUGUCCGGUCACUUACGACUUCGCCAGGGGCUUGUCUCUGGGUAGCCACCCGUCGCCGCUGUCGGCGGCCGUCGUGGCACAGUCCGGAGGGAGGGUCUUUCCCUUCUUGGACCCUUCGGCCUCCCCGGAUGGGUCAGCCUUCCUUUUCUUGUCUCCCUUGGCUGGAGGGGAGAGCUUUUCUCCUCCUCCUCGUUUCCGUGGGAGGAGUGCGCGUCGGAGUCAUCGGACGAUGAGCCCGAUGUAACCUUGCGUCGGAGACCCUUUCGGGUCCCCGUGGCCUUCUUCUUGGCCUUCUUUUCCGGCACCUCAUAAGGUGCCGGAGUUAGCAUCUUCGUUAGAAGAGCAUCUGCAGGAUCUUCGGGCAGGGGGGCUGGGCAAUCAAGCUGCUCCGCUGUCUCUAUCCAGUCAUGUUAAUAACAUGAAAGCUUAGAUCCAGCACAUAACUAAACCAGGGCGAAUAAAUACCCUGAGAGAUAUAAAAGCCUACCGGAUGGGCGCGAUGCUUUGCGCUGAGUCUGUGGUCCUCGAUAAGGGAGGGAGGCAUCUCGGCGCCCUUGAACAACACCCUCCAGACGUGCUCGUGCAUCGUGUCGUAGAGCUGUGCAGCGUCUGGUGCUUGGCCGAGUCGAACUCCCACAAAACAAAUGCCCGUCGUUGGCAUGGAAGGAUCCGGCGGAAGAGCAUAACCUGGACCACGUUCACGAGCUUGAUUUCCUUGUUCGUCAUGUUCUGGAUGCAGGUCUGGAGUCCGGUCAGCUCUACCGCGGAACCCCAGGACAGACCCUUCUUUUUCCAAGAGGUGAGCCGCGUGGGCAUUGCGGAUCGAAAUUUGGGGGCCGCCACCCAUUUGGAGUCGCGCGGCUCGGUGAUGUAGAACCACCCCGAUUGCCACCCCUUUAUGGCAUCCACGUAGGUGCCCUCGAGCCAGGUGACAUUAGGCAUCUUGCCCACCAUGGCGCCUCCGCACUCUGCUUGCUGGCCACCCACCACCUUCGGUUUUACAUUCAAGGUUUCAGUCAUAGGCCGAAGUGGGGCCUGAUGCGGAGGAAGGCCUCACACACGACAAUAAACGCCCAGAUCAUGAAAAUCCAGCCCGUAGUAGAACAUGAGCCCGUGGACAAAUGGGUGGAGAGGAAAUCCUAGUCCGCGGACGAAAUGGGUAAGAAAAACUACCCUCUCAUGGGGUUCGGGCGUGGGGACGAUCUGCCCCGCAUUUGGCAGCCAGUGCACGAUAUCCGCGGCCAAGUAUCCGGCUUCCCGUAACUUUUUGAUGUUCUCCUCCGUGAUGGAGGAGACCAUCCACUUGCCUCCUGCUCCGGACAUGAUUGGAGUGGUUCAAGAAGAAGAACGCGAGCUUGGGCGCUAGAGCUCGAGUGUGCGGGAAUGGGUAAGCGAGGAGGAAGGAGGCGUGGGUGAAAAAAGUAAAUCUUUGUCCCUUUAUAAGGGCGGAGGAGGCGAUGAGUCUCCCCACUUGGCUGGCAAAAACCGCUUAUUCCCCAGGCGCCGUAAUUGAUGGCGCGGUUGGGUUACCCACGCCCGUAUUGAUGAGAAUCUCGUGAUAAGGGGAACACGAUCUCUGCUUUGACAAGACGUAUCAAGAAAACUGCCUCGCAAUAUGUGCGGAGCUGGUUGAGAAAAGCGGUUCGAAUAAUAACCGGUCCAUGGUGUGAUGUGAUGCUGUGAAAACGUGUCAGCAAAUUAGAUUUGUGGAAAUAUUAUUCUCUCUACGGUGGUAUGUGGAACUUAUUUUGCAGGGUCAAACACUAUCCUCAUAUUCAAACUCUUCCAUGGUGUAUUCGGAGGAGGACCCCGCCUUGCAAUGCCGAAGACAAUACCGCGCGCCGGACUCAUCGUCAUUGAAGCCUACUUCAGGGGCUACUGAGGGAGUCCUGGAUUAGGGGGUCUCUGGACAGCCGGACUAUAUCCUUUGCCCGGACUGUUGGACUAUGAAGAUACGAGAUUGAAGACUUCAUCCCGUGUCCGGAUGGGACUCUACUUGGCGUGGAAGGCAAGCUAGGCAAUACGGAUAUGUAUAUCUCCUCCUUUGUAACUGACCUUGUGUAACCCUAGACCCUCCGGUGCCUAUAUAAACCGGAGGGUUUUAGUCCGUAGGACAAGAUGCAAUCAUACCAUAGGCUAGCUUUUAGGGUUUAGCCUCUCUGAUCUCGUGGUAGAUCGACUCUUGUAAUACUCAUAUCAUCAAGAACAAUCAAGCAGGACGUAGGGUAUUACCUCCAUCAAGAGGGCCCGAACCUGGGUAAACAUCGUGUCCCCUGCCUCCUAUUACCAUCCGCCUUAGACGCACAGUUCGGGACCCCCUACCCGAGAUCCGCCGGUUUUGACACCGACAGUUCCACUUGAGUGGAACAUUGUCCUUCUCCUUCAGCCAUAAGGGGUUCCUCAACAGGUAGGAUAAAACCAACACCCAUUCUUCUUAUGGCUUGGGGAGGAAUUUCAUCACCUACAUCACAAUGUACCACUUUGGUCCACAUGGGAGAUGUUAUUCUCAUCAAACUCCACGUUACACGUCUCCUCAAUAAGUCCCGUGGACUUAUUGAGGACACGGUAAGAAUGAGAGUUUGUAGCAUAACCAAAAAAAUAUGCCAUCAUAAGCUCUAGCCUCAAAUUUAGACAAACGAACACCUUUCUUGAGAAUGAAACACUUACACCCGAACACCCGAAAGUACUUGAGGUUGGGUUGUUACCGGUCAGUAUCUCAUAUGGAUUUUUGUUAAAGCCUUUGCGGAGAUAGAGCCGAUUGGAUGCAUGACAUGCCGUGUUGAUGGCUUCGUCCCAAAAGUUGUAAGGAUACUUGAACUCCGCCAUCAUGGUCCUUGCCGCAUCCGUCAACGUCCGGUUCUUCCUAUCCGCUACACCAUUUUAUUGAGGGGUGUAAGGUGCGGAAUAUUGAUGCUUGAUCCCCUCAUGACUAAGAAACUCAUCCAAGGUGUAGUUCUUGAACUCGGUGCCGUUGUCACUUAUCGUCAAAAUCUUUACAUUGUGUUGGCGUUGAGCUUAAUUUGCAAAGUUAAUGGCGGUUUGUUGGGUCUCACUCUUCCUCUUGAAGAAGUAUACCCAAGUGUAUCUUGAAUAAUCAUCCACAAUCACCAAGCAAUACUUUCUACUCCCAAGACUAUCAAAGGAUGGAGGCCCAAAGAGAUCGAAGUGAAGGAGUUCCAAAGGCCUCUUCGAGUAAACGAUAGUCGUGGGAGGGUGAGCCUUCUCAUGUAGCUUUCCUUCGAUACAAGCACUGCAAGCAUGGUCUUUGGCAAAACUAACAUUUGUUAGUCCACAGACAUGGUCCCCUUGAGAAGACUUUGCAAAGAUCUCAUAUUGACAUGGGCUAAACGGCGAUGCCAAAGCCAUCCCACGUCAACUUUAUCCAUUAGGCAUGUCGUGGUCUUAGUGGGUCGCUCCGAAAAUUUAAUCACAUAGAGAACGUUCUUGACAUGCCCAACAAAGGCUACUUUAAGAGUCUUGCUCCACAAGAGGGCCAUGAUACGUCUCCAACGUAUCUAUAAUUUUUGAUUGCUCCAUGCUAUAUUAUCUACUGUUUUGGACUAUAUUGGGCUUUAUUUUCCACUUUUAUAUUAUUUUUGGACUAAUCUAUUAACCGGAGGCCCAGCCCAGAAUUGCUGUUUUUUUGCCUAUUUCAGUGUUUCGAAGAAACAGAAUAUCAGACGGAGUCCAAACGGAAUAAAAUCUUUGGGAACGUGAUUUUCUCACCGAAUGUGAUCCAGGAGACUUGGACCCUGCUCCCAGGAACAAAAGAGGCGGUCGCGAGGGUGGAGGGCGCCCCCCCUAGGGUGCGCCCCCUGCCUCGUGGGCCCCUCGUUGCUCCUCACUUCUUCCUCCUAUAUAUACACACGUACCCCCAAACGAUCAGAAUAGGAGCCAAAAACCUAAUUCCACCACCGCAACUUUCUGUAUCCACGAGAUCCCAUCUUGGGGCCUGUUCCGGAGCUCCGCCGGAAGAGGGCCGUCAUCACGGAGGGCUUCUACAUCAUCCUAGCCUCUCCGAUGAAGUGUGAGUAGUUUACCUCAGACCUUCGGGUCCAUAGUUAGUAGCUAGAUGGCUUCUUCUCUCUUUUUGGAUCUCAAUACAAUGUUCUCCCCCUCUCUUGUGGAGAUCUAUUCGAUGUAAUCUUCUUCUUUUGCGGUGUGUUUGUUGAGACCGAUGAAUUGUGGGUUUAUGAUCAAGUCUAUCUAUGAACAAUAUUUGAAUCUUCUCUGAAUUCUUUUAUGUAUGAUUGGUUAUCUUUGCAAGUCUCUUCGAGUUUCGUUUGGUUUGGCCAACUAGAUUGGUAGUUCUUGCCAUGGGAGAAGUGCUUAGCUUUGGGUUCGAUCUUGCGGUGUUCUUUCCCAGUGACAGAAGGGGCAGCAAGACACGUAUUGUAUCGUUGCCAUCGAGGAUAACAAGAUGGGGUUUAUUUCAUAUUGCAUGAAUUUAUCUCUCUACAUCAUGUCAUCUUGCUUAAAGUGUUACUCUGUUUUUAACUUAAUACUCUAGAUGCAUGCUGGAUAGCGGUCGAUGAGUGGAGUAAUAGUAGUAGAUGCAGAAUCAUUUCGGUCUACUUGUCACGGACGUGAUGCCUAUAUACAUGAUCAUGCCUAGAUAUUCUCAUAACUAUGCUCAAUUCCGUCAAUUGCUCAACAGUAAUUUGUUCACCCACCGUAGAAAACUUAUGCUCUCGAGAGAAGCCACUAGUGAAACCUAUGGCCCUCGGGUCUAUUCUCAUCAUAUCAAUCUCCAUCACUUUUAUAUUGUUUUGCUAUUUACUUUGCUUUUUACUUUUUACUUUGCAUCUUUAUAUCAAAAAUACCAAAAAUAUUCUAUCUAUCAGAUCUCACUCUCGUAAGUGACCGUGAAGGGCUUGACAACCCCUAAUCGUGUUGGUUGCGGGUAGCUAUCGCUUUGUGCAGGUACGAGGGACUUGAGCGUGGGCUCCUACUGGAUUGAUACCUUGGUUCUCAAAAACUGAGGGAAAUACUUACGCUACUCAGCUGCAUCAUCCCUUCCUCUUCGGGGAAAACCAACGCAAGCUCAAGACGUAGCAAGAAGGAUUUCUGGCGCCGUUGCCGGGGAGUCUACGCAAAAAGUCAACAUACCAAGUACCCAUCGCAAUCCCUAUCUCUCGCAUUACAUUAUUUGCCAUUUGCCUCUCAUUUUCCUCUCCCCCAAUUCACCCUUGCCGUUUUAUUCGCCCUCUCUUUCUCUCUCUAUCCUCCCUCUCGUUUGCUAUUUGCCUCUUUUGCCCGUUUCUUGUUUGCUCGUAUGGUUGGAAUAGUCAUUUAUUUAUUACUAAACAGAGAACUAAUAUCUAUGGAUCCUCAUCCGCUUGUCAAUCUUUUUAAGAGAUCCAAUUAUGAUGAACCAAUUCCUAGUGAUUUGGAUGCACAAGAUUAUCUUUAUAAGCUUUUGCCUGAAAUCCAUAAAUCUGAAAAUUGUGAUGAAGUGCUUCACGAUAGAUCUUUGAAUAAAAAGCAUGACUGCAAUGAUUUUAUUAUAAAUUCUCUUGAUGUCAAUUGUGCUAAUAAUAUGCAAAACCCUAAGCUUGGGGAUGCUAGUUUUGCUAUGUCCUCUACUUGUUGCAAUGAUCAUGAUUGGGGUGAUUCUUCUUUUGAUCUUGAAAAUUUAUUUAAACCCCAUGAUGAAUAUGAGAUUGAUUAUAAUGUUUGCAAUAAUUUUGGAAGUGGGUUUGGAAGAAUGUCAACUUUAGCUCCCACAUAUUUGGAGAAUGUUCAAUCUUAUGAAGUUUUUGAUAAAAGUGGGUUUGGAAAGGUCGUGACUUUAGUUAAUGUUAAUCCCACUAUUUUGGAAGAGUGUCAACUUUGCACGCAUGUGGAUUGUGUUGAAAAUAUUUUAUGUGAUAGCUAUUUUGUUGAAUUUACUUAUGAUCCUACAUAUAAUUAUUAUGAGAAAGUAAAAUAUGGUGGUAGAAAUUUCCAUGUUACUAAAUUACCUCUCGUUAUGUUGAGAUUGCUAUUGUUUCCUUCCGCUUCCUUGCAUAUGCUAGUUUUCGCUUGCCUUGAUAAUUUGUUUGCCUAUAAAAUGCCUAUUCAUAGGAAGUAUGUUAGACUUGGAUGUGUUUGUCACGUGUUUUAUGAUGCUCUGUUUGUGCUUCAAUUCUUGUCUUUCAUGUGAGCAUCAUUAAAAUUAUCAAUGCCUAGCUUUAAGGAUUUAAAGAAAAGUGCUUGUUGGGAGUCAACCCAAUAUUUAUCCUUGCUGUCAUUUAAUAAAUAAAUUAUUUAGCCUCUGUUUUGGUUGUGUUUUUUUGUGUUUAAUUAGUGUUUGUGCCAAGUAGAACCUUUGGGAAGACUUGGGGAAAGUCUUGUUGAACUUGCUGUAAAAAACAGAAACUUUAGCGCUCAUGAGAACUGCUGUCAUUUUUAUUUGAAGAGUGCUAUUUAGUUAAUUAUUUUUGCAGAUGAUUAAUAGAUAAAUUCCUCACGUCCAGCAUUUUAUUUUAGAAUUUUUGGGGUUCCAGAUCUUGCGCUAGCUACAGAUUACUACAGACUGUUCUGUUUUUGACAGAUUCUGUUUUUCGUGUGUUGUUUGCUUAUUUUGAUGAAUCUAUGGCUAGUAAAAUAGUUUAUAAUCCAUAGAGAAGUUGGAAUACAGUAGCUUUAACACCAAUAUAAAUAAAUAAUGAGUUCAUUACAGUACCUUGAAGUGGUCUUUUGUUUUCUUUCGCUAACGGAGCUCACUUGUUUUCUAUUUUGAGUUUUGUGUUGUGAAGUUUUCAAGUUUUGGGUGAGUUCUUUUGAUGGAUUAUGGAACAAGGAGUGGCAAGAGACUAAGCUUGGGGAUGCCCAUGGCACCCCCAAGAUAAUCCAAGGACACCAAAAAGUCAAAGCUUGGGGAUGCCCCGGAAGGCAUCCCCUCUUUCGUCCACUUCCAUCGAUAAUUUACUUGGAGCUAUAUUUUUAUUCACCAACAUGAUAUGUGUUUUGCUUGGAGCGUCUUGUAUUAUUUGUGUCUUUUUUUGUUAGUAUGCCACAAUCAUCCUUGCUUUACACACCUUUUGAGAGAGUCAUCUAUGAAUUAAAAUUUGAUAGAAUACUCUAUGUGCUUCACUUAUAUCUUUUGAGCUAUGUAGUUUUGCUCUACGUACUUCACUUAUAUCUUUUGAGCGUUAUAAUUUUGCUCUAUGUGCUUCACUUAGAUCUUUUAGAUCACGGUGGUGGUUUGUUUUAAAUAAACUAUUGAUCUCUCAUGCUUCACUUAAAUUAUUUUGAGAGUCUUAAUAGCAUGGUAAUUUGCUUAACAUAAAUAUGCUUAGUGUUCAAGAUAUGUGAAAUUUUCUUUUGAGUGCGUUGAAUACUAAGAGAAGAUUGAAGCAUGAUAAUUGUUUUGAGAUAUGGAGGUGAUAAUAUUAGAGUUAUGCUAGUUUAGUAGUUGUGAAUUUAAAGAAUACUUGUGUUAAAGUUUGUGAUUCCCGUAGCAUGCACGUAUGGUGAACCGUUAUGUGAUGAAGUCGGAGCAUAAUUUAUUUAUUGAUUGUCUUCCUUAUGAGUGGCGGUCGGGGACGAGCGAUGGUAUUUUCCUACCAAUCUAUCCCCCUAUGAGGAUGUGCGUAAUACUUUGAUUUGAUAACUUCUAGAUUUUUGCAAUAAGUAUAUGAGUUCUUUAUGACUAAUGUUGAGUCCAUGGAUUAUAUGCACUUUUUCCCAUCCUUCCACCAUUGCUAGCCUCUCUAAUACCGCGCACCUUUCGCCGGUAUCAUACACCCACCAUAUACCUUCCUCAAAACAGCCACCAUACCUACCUAUCAUUUCAUUUCCAUAGCCAUUCCGAGAUAUAUUGCCAUGCAACUUUCCACCGUUCUGUUUAUUAUGACACGCUCCAUCAUUGUCAUAUUGCUAGCAUGAUCAUGUAGUUGACAUUGUAUUUGUGGCAAAGCCACCAUUCAUAAUUCUUUCAUACAUGUCACUCUUGAUUCAUUGCAUCUCCCGGUACACCGCCGGAGGCAUUGAUAUAGAGUCAUAUUUGUUCUAAGUAUCGAGUUGUAAUUGUUGAGUUGUAAGAAAAAUAAAAGUGUGAUGAUCAUCAUUUUCUAGAGCAUUGUCCCAAGUGAGGAAAGGAUGAUGGAGACUAUGAUUCCCCCAUAAGUCGGGAUGAGACUCCGGACGAAAAAUAAAUAAAAGAGGCCAAAGAAGCCCAAAAAAAGAGAGAAAGAAAAGAGGCCAUAAAAAAGAAGAAAAGGCCCAAAUAAAAAUAAAUAAAUAAAAAAUGAGAGAAAAAAGAGAGAAGGGACAAUGUUACUAUCCUUUUACCACACUUGUGCUUCAAAGUAGCACCAUGAUCUUCAUAGUAGAGAGUCUCUCAUGUUAUCACUUUCAUAUACUAGUGGGAAUCUUUCAUUAUAGAACUUGGCUUGUAUAUUCCAAUGACGGGCUUCCUCAAAUUGCCCUAGGUCUUCAUGAGCAAGCAAGUUGGAUGCACACCCACUUAGUUUCUUUUUGAGCUUUCAUAUACUUAUAGCUCUAGUGCAUCCGUUGCAUGGCAAUCCCUACUCACUCACAUUGAUAUCUAUUGAUGGGCAUCUCCAUAGCCCGUUGAUACGCCUAGUUGAUGCGAGACUAUCUUCUCCUUUUUGUCUUCUCCACAACCACCAUUCUAUUCCACCUAUAGUGCUAUAUCCAUGGCUCACACUCAUGUAUUGCGUGAAGAUUGAAAAAGUUAGAGUAUGAAACAAUUGCUUGGCUGGUCAUCGGGGUUGUGCAUGAUUUAAAUACUUUGUGUGGUGAAGAUAGAGCAUAGCCAGACUAUAUGAUUUUGUAGGGAUAACUUUCUUUGGCCAUGUUAUUUUGAGAAGACAUAAUUACUUUAUUAGUAUGCUUGAAGUGUUAUUAUUCUUUAUGUCAAUAUGAACUUUUGUCUCAAAUCUUUCUAAUCUGAAUAUCCAUACCACAAUUAAGAAAUUUUGCAUUGAAAGUAUGCCAAGUAGCACUCCGCAUCAAAAAUUCUCUUUUUAUCAUUUACCUACUUGAGGACGAGCAGGAAUUAAGCUUGGGGAUGCCUGAUACGUCUCCAAUGUAUCUAUAAUUUUUGAUUGCUCCAUGCUAUAUUAUCUACUGUUUUGGACUAUAUUGGGCUUUAUUUUCCACUAUUAUAUUAUUUUUGGGACUAACUUAUUAACCGGAGGCCCAGCCCAGAAUUGAUGUUUUUUGCCUAUUUCAGUGUUUCGAAGAAACAGAAUAGCAGACGGAGUCCAAACGGAAUAAAAUCUUCGGGAACGUGAUUUUCUCACCGAACGUGAUCCAGGAGACUUGGACCCUACUCCAGGUGGUCACGAGGGCGGGGGGCGCCCCCCCUAGGGCGCGCCCCCUGCCUCGUGGGCCCCUCGUUGCUCCUCCGGCGUACUUCUUCCUCCUAUAUAUAUACAUGUACCCCCAAACGAUCAGAACAGGAGCCAAAAACCUAAUUCCACCGCUGCAACUUUCUGUAUCCAUGAGAUCCCAUCUUGGGGCAUGUUUCGGAGCUCCGCCGAAAGAGGGCCGUCAUCACGGAGGGAUUCUACAUCAUCCUAGCCUCUCCGAUGAAGUGUGAGUAGUUUACCUCAGACCUUCAGGUCCAUAGUUAGUAGCUAGAUGGCUUCUUCUCUCUUUUUGGAUCUCAAUACAAUGUUCUCCCCCUCUCUUGUGGAGAUCUAUUCGAUGUAAUCUUCUUCUUUUGCGGUGUGUUUGUUGAGACCGAUGAAUUGUGGGUUUAUGAUCAAGUCUAUCUAUGAACAAUAUUUGAAUCUUCUCUGAAUUCUUUUAUGUAUGAUUGGUUAUCUUUGCAAGUCUCUUCGAAUUAUCCGUUUGGUUUGGCCAACUAGAUUGGUAGUUCUUGCCAUGGGAGAAGUGCUUAGCUUUGGGUUCGAUCUUGCGGUGUUAUUUCCCAGUGACAGAAGGGGCAUCAAGACACAUAUUGUAUCAUUGCCAUCGAGGAUAACAAGAUGGGGUUUAUUUCAUAUUGCAUGAAUUUAUCUCUCUACAUCAUGUCAUCUUGCUUAAAGCGUUACUCUGUUUUUAACUUAAUACUCUAGAUGCAUGCUGGAUAGCGGUCGAUGAGUGGAGUAAUAGUAGUAGAUGCAGAAUCGUUUCGGUCUACUUGUCAUGGACGUGAUGCCUAUAUACAUGAUCAUGCCUAGAUAUUCUCAUAACUAUGCUCAAUUCUGUCAAUUGCUCAAUAGUAAUUUGUUCACCCACUGUAGAAAACUUAUGCUCUCGAGAGAAUCCACUAGUGAAACCUAUGGCCCCCGGGUCUAUUCUCAUCAUAUCAAUCUCCAUCACUUCUAUAUUGUUUUGCUAUUUACUUUGAUUUUACUUUUUACUUUGCAUCUUUAUAUCAAAAAUACCAAAAAUAUUCUAUCUAUCAGAUCUCACUCUCGUAAGUGACCGUGAAGGGCUUGACAACCCCUAAUCACGUUGGUUGCGGGUAGCUAUCGCUUUGUGCAGGUACGAGGCCACGGUAUCAAUAUCAAAGAAAGUGGCAAAGCCCAUGAGUGCAAGUUGACGAACGGAAAGUAAAUUGUAUGCAAGCUCAACAAGCAUGACUUUCUCAAUCGUGAGAUCAUGAGAAAUGACAACCUUGCCAAGUCCUAAUACCUUAGAAGACGAGGCAUCACCCCACUCGACAUUGGUGGGCAUAGAUGGAAUCUUGUGCACGUCCACCACCAAGUCCUUGCUUCCGGUCAUAUGAUUAGUGGCUCCACUGUCGAGCAACCAAGUGCUACCUCUUGAGCACUGCAUUGGUUUUCCCUUGAAGAGGAAAGGGUGAUGUAGCAAAGUAGCGUAAGUAUUUCCCUUAGUUUUUGAGAACCAAGGUAUCAAUCCAGUAGGAGAUCACGCUCGAGUCCCACACACCUACACAAACAAAUAAGAACCUCGCAACCAACGUGAUAAAGGGGUUGUCAAUCCCUUCACGGUCACUUACGAGAGUGAGAUCUGAUAGAUAUGAUAAUAUAAUAUUUUUGGUAUUUUUAUGAUAAAGAUGCAAAGUAAAAUAAACGGCAAAAGAACUAACUAGGUGUUGGAAGAUUAAUAUGAUGGAAGAUAGACCCGGGGCCAUAGGUUUCACUAGUGGCUUCUCUCAAGAGCAUAAGUAUUACGGUGGGUAAACGAAUUACUGUCGAGCAAUUGAUAGAAUUGAGCAUAGUUAUGAGAAUAUCUAGGUAUGAUCAUGUAUAUAGGCAUCACGUCCGUGACAAGUAGACCGAAACGAUUCUGCAUCUACUACUAUUACCCCACACAUCGACCGCUAUCCAGCAUGCAUCUAGAGUAUUAAGUUCAUAAGAACAAAGUAACACCUUAAGCAAGAUGACAUGAUGUAGAGGGAUAAACUCAUGCAAUAUGAUAUAAACCCCAUCUUUUUAUCCUUGAUAGCAACAAUACAAUACGUUUCCCUUUCUGUCACUGGGAUCGAGCACCGCAAGAUUGAACCCAAAGCUAAGCACUUCUCCCAUUGCAAGAAAGAUCAAUCUAGUAGGCCAAACCAAACCGAUAAUUCGAAGAGACUUGCAAAUAUAAACAAAUCAUACAUAAAAGAAUUCAGAGGAGAAUCAAAUAUUGUUCAUAGAUAAACUUGAUCAUAAACCCACAAUUCAUCGGAUCUCGACAAACACACCGCAAAAUAAGGUUACAUCGAAUAGAUCUCCAAGAAGAUCGAGGAGAACUUUGUAUUGAGAUCCAAAGAGAGAGAAGAAGCCAUCUAGCUAAUAACUAUGGACCCGUAGGUCUGAAAUAAACUACUCGCGCAUCACCGGAGAGGCCAUGGAGUUUAUGUAGAGGGCCUCCGUGAUCAAUGCCCCCUCUGGCGGAGCUCCGGAAAAGGCCCCAAGAUGGGAUCUCUCGGGUACGUAAGGUUGCGGCGGUGGAAUUAGGUUUUCGUGGAGCUCCUGGAUGUUUGGGGGGUACAUGGAUAUAUAUAGGAGGAAGAAGUACGUCGGUGGAGCAACGAGGGGCCCACGAGGGUGGAGGGCGCGCCCAGGGGGGUAGGCACGCCCCCUGCCUCGUGCCCUCCUUGAUCGUUUCUUGAUGCACCCUCCAAGUCUCCAGGAUCACGUUUGUUGAGAAAAUCACGUUCCCGAAGGUUUCAUUCCGUUUGGAUUCCGUUUGAUAUUCCUUUUCUUCAAAACCCUAAAAUAGGCAAAAAAAAAUAGCAAUUUGGGUUGGGCCUCCGAUUAGUAGGUUAGUCCCAAAAAUGAUAUAAAAGUGUAAAAUAAAGCCCAUUAACAUCCAAAAUAUAUAAUAUAAUAGCAUGGAGCAAUCAAAAAUUAUAGAUACGUUGGAGACGUAUCAAGCAUCCCCAAGCUUAAUUACUGCUCGUCCUCGAGUAGGUAAAUGAUAAAAGAAGAAUUUUUGAUGUGGAAUGCUUUCUAACAUAUUUCUCAAUGUAAUUUUUCCUUAUUGUGGCAUGAAUGUUCAGAUCCGAAAGAUUCAAGAUAAAAUUUUAAUAUUGACAUAAAAAUAAUAAUACUUCAAGCAUACUAACUAAGCAAUUAUGUAUUCUCAAAAUAACAUGUCCAAAGAAAGUUAUCCCUACAAAAUCAUAUAGUCUGGCUAUGCUCUAUCUUCACCACACAAAAUAUCUAAAUCAUGCACAACCCCGAUGACAAGCCAAGCAAUCGUUUCAUACUUUUGAUGUUCUCAAACUUUUUAAUCUUCACGCAAUAUAUGAGCGUGAGCCAUGGAUAUAGCACUAUUUGUGGAAUAGAAUGGUGGUUGUGGAGAAGACAAAAAAGGAGAAAAUAGUCUCACAUCAACUAGGCAUAUCAACGGGCAAUGGAGAUGCCCAUCAAUAGAUAUAAAUGUGAGUGAGUAGGGAUUGCCAUGCAACGGAUGCAUUAGAGCUAUAAGUAUAUGAAAGCUCAACAAUAGAAACUAACUGGGUGUGCAUCCAACUCGCUUUCUCAUGAAGACCUAGGGCAUUUUGAGGAAGCCCGUCAUUGGAAUAUACAAGCCAAGUUCUAUAAUGAAAAAUUCCCACUAGUAUAUGAAAGUGAUAUCAUAGGAGACUCUCUAUUAUGAAGAUCAUGGUGCUACUUUGAAGCACAAGUGUGGAAAAAGGAUAUUAACAUUGUCCCUUCUCUCUUUUUCUCUUAUUCUUUUUUUAUUUGGGCCUUCUUUCUUUUUUCUUUUUGGCCUCUUUUUCGUCCGGAGUCUCAUCCCGACUUGUGGGGGAAUCAUAGUCUCCAUCAUCCUUUCCUCACUUGGGACAAUGCUCUAAUAAUGAUGAUCAUCACACUUUAAUUUCUUACAACUCAAUACUUAGAACCAAAUAUGACUCUAUCUGAAUGCCUCCGGCGGUUUAUCGGGAUGUGCAAUGAUGCAUGAGUGACAUGUAUGAAGAAUUAUGAACGGUGGCCUUGCCACAAAUACGAUGUCAACUACAUGAUCAUGCAAGCAAUAUGACAAUGAUGAAGCGUGUCAUAAUAACGGAAUGGUGGAAAGUUGCAUGGUAAUAUAUCUCGGAAUGGCUAUGGAAAUGCCAUAAUAGGUAGGUAUGGUGGCUGUUUUGAGAAAGGUAUAUGGUGGGUUUAAGGUACCGGCGAAAGUUGCGCGAUACUAGAGAGGCUAGCAAUGGUGAAAGGGUGAGAGUGCGUAUAAUCCAUGGACUCAACAUUAGUCAUAAAGAACUCACAUACUUAUUGCAAAAAUCUAUUAGUUAUCAAAACAAAGUAUUACGCGCAUGCUCCUAGGGGGUAGAUUGGUAGGAAAAGACCAUCGCUCGUCCCCGACCGCCACUCAUAAGGAAGACAAUCAAUAAAUAAAUCAUGCUCCGACUUCAUCACAUAACGGUUCACCAUACGUGCAUGCUACGGGAAUCACAAACUUCAACACAAGUAUUUCUCAAAUUCACAACUACCCGACUAGCAUGACUCUAAUAUCACCAUCUCCAUAUCUCAAAACAAUUAUCAAGUAUCAAACUUCUCAUAGUAUUCAAUGCACUUCUAUGAAAGUUUUUAUAUUAAAGCAAAUUUCCAUGUUGUUCUAAAGGACUCUCAAAAUAAUAUAAGUGAAGCAUGAGAGAUCAAUUAUUUCUAUAAAAUAAAACCACCAUCGUGCUCUAAAAGAUAUAAGUGAAGCAUUAGAGCAAAAACUAUAUAGCUCAAAAGAUAAAAGUGAAGCACAUAGAGUAUUCUAAUAUAUUUCAAAUCAUGUGAGUCUCUCUAAAAAGGUGUGUACAGAAAGUAUGAUUGUGGUAAACUAAAAAGCAAAGAUUCAAAUCAUACAAGACGCUCCAAGCAAAACACAUAUCAUGUGGUGAAUAAAAAUAUAGCUCCAAGUAAAGUUACCGAUAGACAAAGACGAAAGAGGGGAUGCCUUCCGGGGAAUCCCCAAGCUUAGGCUUCUUGGUGUCCUUGAGUUUUACCUUGGGGUGCCAUGGGCAUCCCCAAGCUUAGGCUCUUGCCACUCCUUGUUUCUUAAUCCAUCAAAUCUUUACCCAAAACAUGAAAACUUCACAACACAAAACUCAAAAUAGAAAAUCGCGUGAGCUCCAUUAGCGAAAGAAAACAAAAAACCACUUCAAGGUACUGUAAUGAACUCAUUAUUUACUUAUAUUGGUGUUAAAACUAAUGUAUUCCAACUUCUCUAUGGUUUUUAAACUCUUUUACUAGCCAUAGAUUCAUCAAAAUAAGCAAACAACACACGAAAACAGAAUCUGUCAAAAACAGAACAGUCUGUAGUAAUCUGUAGCUAACGCAACUUAUGGAACCCCAAAAAUUCUAAAAUAAAUUGCUGGAUGUGAGGAAGUUAUCUAUUAAUCAUCUGAAAAAAUAAUUAACUAAAUAGAACUCUCCAAAUAAAAAUGGCAUCAAUUCCCGUGAGCGCUAAAGUUUCUGUUUUUUACAGCAAGAUCAAAAAGACUUCCCCAAGUCUUCCCAACGAUUCUACUUGGCACAAACACUAACUAAACACAAAAAACACAACCAAAACAGAGGCUAGAUAAAUUAUUUAUUACUAAACAGGAGAAAAAAGCAAGAAAUAAAAAUAAAAUUGGGUUGCCUCCCAACAAGCGCUAUCGUUUAACGCCCCUAGCUAGGCAUAAAAGCAAGGAUAGAUCUAGGUAUUGCCAUCUUUGGUAUUAGGAAAGAAAACAGAAAAAUUCUUUUCUAUAGCAUUUAUCUUUCUAUUUUGAGAUAGCACAUGGCCAUUAAUGGUGGAAGAAAGAUUAAGCACGUUACGGAAAUUGGCAUCUAAGCUAGCCUUCAUUUCUUUGAUAAUUUCAUUUUGAUAAAAGCACAAAAAAGAGGUAGAUUCAACCUUCUCAUACAUGGGGUGCCCAAAUAUAGUUUUCAUCUUUUCAUAGGUAUCGAUGGGAUCCCCCUCAAGAAAACCCUCUUCAAAAAUAGAAUCUAGAACUUGCUUGAACGAGGAGGGUAGACCAAUAUAAAAGCUUUUCAGGUAAACCUCAAUUUGAUAUUGUGGCACAUAGCUAGCUCGGAUCCUUAAUAGCCUAUCCCAAGCAUCUUUCAAAGAUUCAUCAAGUAAAUAAUGAAAAGUUCCGGGAUCAUCUUCAUCAAAAUUAUUCGAAUUCUCAUUGAUAACCCCGGUAGGUCUUUCCAUAGCAUCAUUAUUUAUGAGCUUAGAGAGGACAGAAGGACUAUCCAAGGUAAAACCCGAGAGAGAACCCUUAGCCCUUUUUGAAUCGGCCAUGGUACAAGAAAACAAAUGGGAAAGGAGACGAAUAAAAUGGCAAGGGUGAAGUGGGGAAGAGGAAAAUGAGAGUCAAAUGACAAAUAAUGUAAUGCGAAGGAUAAGAGUUUGUGAUGGGUACUUGAUAUGUCUUGACUUGUGCGUAGAUUCCGGCAACGGUGCCAGGAAUGACUCGUUGUCAGGAGUCGAAUCUUGACUUAACUUGGCGCGAAUCUCCCUAGCAACGGUGCCCGAAAUCCUUCUUGCUACCUCUUGAGCAUUGCGUUGGUUUUCCCUUGAAGAGGAAAGGGUGAUGCAGCAAAGUAGCGUAAGUAUUCCCCUCAGUUUUUGAGAACCAAGGUAUCAAUCCAGUAGGAGAUCACGCUCGAGUCCCACGCACCUACACAAACAAAUAAGAACCUCGCAACCAACGCGAUAAAGGGGUUGUCAAUCCCUUCACGGUCACUUACGAGAGUGAGAUAUGAUAGAUAUGAUAAGAUAAUAUUUUUGGUAUUUUUAUGAUAAAGAUGCAAAGUAAAAUAAACGGCAAAAGAAAUAACUAAGUGUUGGAAGAUUAAUAUGAUGGAAGAUAGACCCGGGGGCCAUAGGUUUCACUAGUGGCUUAUCUCAAGAGCAUAAGUAUUAUGGUGGGUAAACGAAUUACUGUCGAGCAAUUGAUAGAAUUGAGCAUAGUUAUGAGAAUAUCUAGGUAUGAUCAUGUAUAUAGGCUUCACGUCCGCGACAAGUAGACCAAAAUGAUUCUGCAUCUACUACUAUUACUCCACACAUCGACCGCUAUCCAGCAUGCAUCUAGAGUAUUAAGUUCAUAAGAACAGAGUAACACCUUAAGCAAGAUGACAUGAUGUAGAGGGAUAAACUCAUGCAAUAUGAUAUAAACCCCAUCUUUUUAUCCUCGAUGGCAACAAUACAAUACGUGUCGGUUCCCUUUCUGUCACUGGGAUCGAGCACCGCAAGAUUGAACCCAAAGCUAAGCACUUCUCCCAUUGCAAGAAAGAUCAAUCUAGUAGGCCAAACCAAACUGAUAAUUCGAAGAGACUUGCAAAGAUAAACCAAUCAUACAUAAAAGAAUUCAGAGGAGAAUCAAAUAUUGUUCAUAGAUAAACUUGAUCAUAAACCCACAAUUCAUCGGAUCUCGACAAACACACCGCAAAAGAAGAUUACAUCGAAUAGAUCUCCAAGAAGAUGGAGGAGAACUUUGUAUUGAGAUCCAAAGAGAGAUAAGAAGCCAUCUAGCUAAUAACUAUGGACCCGUAGGUCUGAAAUAAACUACUCACACAUCACCGGAGAGGCCAUGGAGUUGAUGUAGAGGCCCACCGUGAUCAAUGCCCCCUCCGGCGGAGCUCCGGAAAAGGCCCCAAGAUGGGAUCUCUCGGGUACAGAAAGUUGCGGCGGUGGAAUUAGGUUUUCGUGGUGCUCCUGGAUGUUUGGGGGGUACAUGGAUAUAUAUAGGAGGAAGAAGUACGACGGUGGAGCAACGAGGGGCCCAUGAGGGUGGAGGGCGCGCCCCCUUGCCUCAUGCCCUCCUCGAUCGUUUCUUGACGCACACUCCAAGUCUCCUGGAUCAGGUUUGUUGAGAAAAUCACGUUCCCGAAGGUUUCAUUCCGUUUGGACUCCGUUUGGACUCCGUUUGAUAUUCCUUUUCUUCGAAACCCUAAAAUAGGAAAAAAGAACAACAAUUUGGGCUGGGCCUCCGGUUAGUAGGUUAGUCCCCAAAAUGAUAUAAAAGUGCAUUAACAUCCAAAAUAGAUAAUAUAAUAGCAUGGAGCAAUCAAAAAUUAUAGAUACGUUGGAGACGUAUCACCAAGAUCCCCCACCGGAAGCAAACACGUGCAAGAGAUCAAUGCUUGGUUUUAGGUACCCAUUUUGUAAUGGGUCCUUUGAUGUUAGUAACAAGGGUCUUAGGAACCCAAAUAGACCAUUCAAUGUACUCAUAAGGAGAACCAACAAAUUUAGCAUAAACAUGCCCAUCACUAGCACGACACAACACAUAAGAAGGGUUAAAGUCGCCGGAUUUGUUGGAAGGGGUGGCAUUGCCCUUAUUGACACCACCACCCUUCUCAUUGUUCUUCUUCUCCUUAGAAGCACCCUCUCCCUCCCUCACAAAAGUUUGCUUGAGAGGAGCAGGUCGUUUGGCCUUGUCAUUCUUCUCCUUGUUCUUGGGCUUGGAAGCAAACCCAAUUCCCUCCUUGCCCACAACUUCCUUUUGAUUGCUCAAAAGGUCGUUGAGGUUCUUCUCACCUUGUAUGCAAGACACAAGGCCUUUCUCAAGUUGCUCCUCCAACUUAGCAUUCUUCUCCACAAGAUGCACAUGCUCACAACAUGGGUUAGUAGCAUUUGCAUUAUCAAUUAAGACCAUAUGAGGAAAAGUGGCCUUUUCCUUAGUUAGCUUCACUUGGAGUUGAUCAUGAGACUCUUUGAGGCUAGCACGAGCACCCUUCAAGGGUUUGUGAGCCUUGUCGAGUAUAUCAAACUCCUCCUUGAUUCUAGCAAGAUCAAGCCCAAGUUUGGCCUUCUCAGAAUUGAGCACACGAGAUACAACAAGUGCAUGAUCAAGAUCUUUCUUUAAUUUAGCAUGAUCAUCGUUGUGUGACUCCUCAAGAGCCAAACGGUGACCACGCUCUUCCUCAAGAGCAUUAGAGAGAUCCGAUAUCUCAUCGGCAUAGUCACGACUAUGUCCCUCCAUCUUAGAGAUGGUGUCUUCGUGAGCCUCGAUCAUGUCAUUGGCUUCACCAAGUUGUUCCAAGAGAGCAAAAAAGUGCUUCUUAGACUUACCCUUGAGCUUACUCAUACAAGACUCAAAUUCAUUUUCUUCCUCAUUAGACCCCUCACUUUCAUCAAUGAAAAUCCGUCAAAGAGGGAUUAGUAGUGAUGGUAGUUUUGAUGUUGGGGGUUACCUUGUUGGUGGCUUUGGCCAUGAGGCACUUAGCGGUGAUGUUCUCGUUGGGUGAGUCGAAGAGCGACACCCGUGGAGUUGUUGCAAUGGCAACGGAGGCCAUGUCAACCGUCUCAUCGUCUUCAUCAUUGUCAUCAUCCUCAUUGUACUCUUCAUGUGCCACCAACCCCUUGGAAGGAGUCUUCUUGGUGAAGUUGCUCUUGUUGGGGAAGGACUUGGCCUUGUCUUUUCGGAUGAGCUUGCCACCAUUGUCUUCCCUCUUCUCAUAUGGGCACUUUGCAACAAAAUGGCUCACAUUGCCACAAUUAUAGAAAGUCCUCACACGUUGCUUUCCCUUCACGCCACUUGAGUUGUUCUUGUUGAAGUUGGGCCUUGUGUUCUUCUUGCUCCAAAAUUGCCUUGAAGCGAGAGGCAUGUGCUCAUGGUAAGCAUAUUUCGUAUCUUCGGGGUUGCUCUCCUCUUCUUCCUCUUUGUCCUCUUCUUCCACACUAGCCUUGGCCUUCAAGGCAAGGUUGGGCUUCUUUGCUCUUUGAGAAUGCAACACUGCAUUGUCGGUGGUCUUGUCCAAGAUCCUCAUAGCCACAAACUCAUCCAACACUUCACUUGAGGACAAGGUGUGGAAGUACGGCCUUUGAAGAAUAACGGAGGACAUGGCCUUGUGGUAAGGCAUCAUGGCCUUGAGGAACUUGCGCUUGAUCCAAUUUUCAUCUGUAUCCUUGCUCCCAUGAUCUCGGAGUGAGACCGCAAGAGUGGUUAAUCUCCGGUAAAUCUCAAGAGGCUCUUCAUCUUCAUUCAUUGCAAACUCAUCAGCUUCAUCUUGUACCACUUCAUAGUUGGAGCGUUGAAUGAUUGCGCUUCCUUUGUAAAGGGAAACAACAUGGUGCCAUGCUUCCUUGGCCACGGUGAAAGGUCAAAGAUGUGCAAUGUCUUCGGAAGGAAUUGCAUCUUGGAUGAUGAAGAGAGCAUUCUCGUUGAAUCGAUGAUCCGCGACUUCCCUAGGGGUGAAGUUGCUUGGGUCAUGCGGAUAGAAGCCUUGCUCAAUGAUUCUUCAAAGAUUAGUAUUGACAUGAUUUAAAUGACGUUUAAAGCGAUAGACCCAAGAGUCAAAAUCCUCAUUUUUCACAAUCUUAGGAGGAGAAACCACAUGAUUUAAAUGAGUGGAGGGAACCGGUCGUCCAUUUGUAAGAGGAGAUUCAACAUGGGAAAAGAUGUCGUUUCCACUUUUACCACUAGACAAAGGAACUUUUGUUGGGGAUCGUAGCAAUAAUUCAAAAUUUUCCUACGUGUCACCAAGAUCAAUCUAGGAGAUACUAGCAACGAGAGAGAGGGAGUGCAUCUUCAUACUCUUGAAGAUCGCUAAGUGGAAGCGUUGCAAGAACGCGGUUGGUGGAGUCGUACACGCAGCGAUUCAGAUCACGGUCGAUUCCGAUCUAAGCGCCGAACAACGGCGCCUCCGCGUUCAACACACGUACAGCCCGGUGACGUCUCCCACGCCUUGAUCCAACAAGGAGAGAGGGAGAGGUUGGGGAAGACUCCGUCCAGCAGUAGCACAACGGCGUGGUGAUGGUGGAGGAGCGCGGUACUCCAGCAGGGCUUCGCCAAGCACUACGAGAGACGAGGAGGGAGAGGGGUAGGGCUGCGCCAAGAGAGAGAUCAAAUCACCUGUGUUGGGCAGCCCCAUACCUCAAGUAUAUAUAGGGGAAGGGGAGGGGCUGCGCCCCCUCUAGGGUUCCCUCCCCAAGGGGGCAGCAGCCCUAGAUCCCAUCUAGGGUGGCGGCUAGAGGGGAGAGGGAGAGAGGGGGGCGCCCUAGGGUGGGCCUUAAGGCCCAUCUGGACCUAGGGUUUGCCCCCUCCCACUCUCCCUGCGCCUUGGGCCUUGGUGGGGGUGCACCAGCCUACCUGGGGCUGGUCCCCUCCCACACUUGGUCCACGCAGCCUUCUGGGGCUGGUGGCCCCACCUGGUGGACCCCCGGGACCCUCCCGGUGGUCCCGGUACGUUACUGAUAGCACCCGAAACUUUUCUGGUGACCAAAAUGGGACUUCCCAUAUAUAAAUCUUUACCUCUGGACCAUUCUGGAACUCCUCGUGAUGUCCGGGAUCUCAUCCGGGACUCCGAACAACAUUCGGUAACCACGUACAUACUUUCCCUAUAACCCUAGCGUCAUCGAACCUUAAGUGUGUAGACCCUACGGGUUCGGGAACCAUGUAGACAUGACCGAGACAACUCUCCGGCCAAUAACCAACAGCGGGAUCUGGAUACCCAUGUUGGCUCCCACAUGUUCCACGAUGAUCUCAUCGGAUGAACCACGAUGUCAAGGAUUCAAUCAACCCCGUAUACAAUUCCCUUUGUCUAUCGGUAUGAUACUUGCCCGAGAUUCAAUCAUCGAUAUCCUGAUACCUCAUUCAAUCUCGUUACCGGCAAGUCUCUUUACUCGUUCCAUAAUACAUCAUCCCGUGAUCAACUCCUUGGUCACAUUGUGCACAUUAUGAUGAUGUCCUACCCAGUGGGCCCAGAGAUACCUCUCCGUUACACGGAGUGACAAAUCCCAGUCUCGAUUCGGGUCAACCCAACAGACACUUUCAGAGAUACCCGCAGUGCACCUUUAUAGCCACCCAGUUACGUUGUGACUUUUGGUACACCCAAAGCAUUCCUACGGUAUCCGGGAGUUGCACAAUCUCAUGGUCUAAGGAAAUGAUACUUGACAUUAGAAAAGCUUUAGCAUACGAACUAUACGAUCUUGUGCUAGGCUUAGGAUUGGGUCUUGUCCAUCACAUCAUUCUCCUAAUGAUGUGAUCCCGUUAUCAACGACAUCCAAUGUCCAUGGUCAGGAAACCGUAACCAUCUAUUGAUCAACGAGCUAGUCAACUAGAGGUUACUAGGGACAUGGUGUUGUCUAUAUAUCCACACAUAUAUCUGAGUUUCCUAUCAAUACAAUUCUAGCAUGGAUAAUAAACGAUUAUCAUGAACAAGGAAAUAUAAUAAUAACUAAUUUAUUAUUGCCUCUAGGGCAUAUUUCCAAAAACUUUAUCACUAGAAGCUUUUCCCUUGUCGGAGUUAGCAUCCGUCACCUUGUUAGUGGGAUCGACCACUUCCAACGGUGCGGUGGACAAUUUAAGACCAUCAAGAAAGUUCUUAAGCAUGCCUUUGACCUUGGCCGUCAUGGAGGUUUUCAAUGUGUCCAAGGCCACAUUGAACUCCUCACGUGAGAUCGAGGUUCCCCCAUCGGCUGUGGACGAGGAUGGAAUCACAUAGGGGUGCUCCUCCUCACCGUCUACGGUGUCAACCAUACUCUUCGGACGACAAAGUCCUUAAUAAAGAGAUGAGGCUCUGUUACCAAUUGAAAGGAUCGAUAUAGUUGACUAGAGGGGGGGUGAAUAGGCAACUAACAAUUUUUAGCUUUUCUUUACCAAUUUAAACUUUGCAUCAAAGUAGGUUGUCUAGAUAUGCAACUAGGUGAGCAACCUAUAUGAUGCAACAACAAGCACACAAGCAAGCAAGGGAUGCAACACAAUAUAAUCUUGCACAAGUAAAGGUACGAGAUAACCAAGAGUGGAGCCGACGAAGACGAGGAUGUGUUACCAAAGUUCCUUCCCUUUGAGAGGAAGUGUGUCUCCGUUGGAGCGGUGUGGAGGCGCAAUGCUCCCCAAGAAGCCACUAGGGCCACCGUAUUCUCCUCACGCCCUCACACAAAGCGAGAUACCGUGAUUCCACUAUUGGUGCCCUUGGAGGCGGUGACCGGACCUUUACAAACAAGGUUGGGGCAAUCUCCACAACUUAAUUGGAGGCUCCCAACGACACCAUGAAGCUUCACCAUAAUGGAAAUUGGCUCCGCGGUGACCUCAACCGUCUAGGGUGCUCAAACACCCAAGAGUAACAAGAUCCACAAUGGAUUAGUGGGGGGAAUCAAAUUUCUCUUGGUGGAAGUGUAGAUCGGGGCUUUCUCAACCAAUCCCUAGAAAAUCAACAAGGUUGAUUGGCUAGGGAGAGAGAUCAGGCAAAAAUGGAGCUUAGAGCAACAAUGGAGCUUAGGGAUGGAAGAGGUAGUCAACUCGGAGAAGAAGACUCCCCUUAUAUAGUGAUAGGACAAAUCCAACCGUUAUCCACUUACCCAGCCUGUGACGCGCGAUAGUACCGCACCAGCCAUGCGGUACUACCACAAGGGCCUGCGAUACUACCACGGGGCACUGCGGUACUACCGCAUGCGCGGCAAGAGCCAGACCGACCCUGAUGCGUUGAAGCAAAGAGCGGUAGAACCGCCGGAGCGGUACUACCGCAAAGCAAGGUUUGUUUACGCUGGAAAGGCACGGACAUAUAAAAAUACAUCUGUGGCUACUUCCGCCGAGUUUCGAUCUGUGCAAAAAUCCGACACGGUACUGCCGCGAACCUGGAGCGGUACUACCGCGUAGGGCGCGGAUGUAAAGAAUUACAUCCGCCCCUACUUCUGCUCGUGCUGUUGUGCCUGGCCCGAGGCCACGGUACUACCGCGCCCUAGGAGUGGUACUACCGCAAUGGACUGCAAUACUACCGCGACCGUAGCCGGUAUUACCGUGAGCCUCUGCGGUACUACCGCUCCCAUGAGCAGUACUACCGCAUGCCCAGCACAACCAACACUAGGAGUCCUUCAUUUUGUAGAGACACGGAUAACUAGAGGAUGCUCCAAAGAGCCAACGGAAAUGUGGUGUAAAAGGAACAGACGUGUACAUGAUGAUUCUACCCAAACCUUUCCAAAGCGGACCCCCUCUUAAUAGUACGACUUUCCUACGACUCAAAUCCACCGAAAAGAAACGUAGGAAAAACUCCGUCUUCACUAGACUCCGAGAGGCAACGAAUCAUCUUGUGCCUGAACAUGAGAUAUCUAAAAUGCUCAAUGCACACGAUUAGUCUGCCAAAACAUUGCCGUCAAUCACCAAAACCACUAAGGGAUAAAUAUGCCCUUACAAUCUUUCCCUUUUUGGUGGAUUGAUGACAAUACGAGAUUUGCACAAAGGGAAAUAAAAUGAAGCAUAGGCAAACCCAACAUCUAUAAGAUAUAGAUGGGCUCCCCCUAGAUAUGUGUUCUCUAGAGAAGUGCUUUGGACUGCACGACACACAUACUAGGAUCAACACUCCCCCUAUAUUUUAUAGACGAGGCAUAUCUUGCAACAAAAUAACUAACACGAAGCAAGGAGGCAAGAUAACAAAUAUGAGCGUAAAGUAACGAGAGCACAAUCUACUAAUCAAACUAGAUAACAUGAUAAGACAAUAAGAUACGUUGAGAACAUAUGUCUUACACCAUAUGAUAGGAUCAACACCCCCCCUUGCGGUACUACCGCAAGGCAGGGUUUGUCUAGGCUGGGAAGGCACGGACAUAUAAAAAAACAUCCGUGGCUACUUCAACUGAGUUUCGAUCUAUGCAAAAAUCCGACACGGUAUUGCCACGAACCUGGAGCGGUACUACCGCGUAGGGCGCGGAUGUAAAAAAUUACAUCCGCCCCUACUUCCGCUCGUGCUGUUGUGCCUGGCCCGAGGCCAUGGUACUACCGCGCCCUGGGAGCGGUACUACCGUGAGCCUCUGCGUACUACCGCUCUCAUGAGCAGUACUACCGCAUACCCAACACAACCAACACUAGGAGUCCCUCAUUUUACAGAGACACAGAUAAACGGAGGAUGCUCCAAAGAGCCAACGGAAAGGUGGUGCAAAAGGAACAGACGUGUACGUAAUGAUUCCACCCAAACAUUUCCAAAGCGGACCCCUCUUAAUAGUACGACUUUCCUACGAUUCAAAUCCACCGAAAAGAAACGUAGGGAAAAGUCUGUCUUCACUAGACUCCAAGGGGCAACGAAUCGUCUUGUCCCUGAACAUGAGAUAUCAAAAAUGUUCAAUGCACACGAUUAGUCCGCAAAAGCAUUGUCGUCAAUCACCAAAACCACUAAGGGAUACAUAUGCCCUUACAACCGACGGGAGGCGGGAGAAACCCUAGCCAAAGGGUCCUCUUUCUUUCAUCCGUCCUCUUUUAAUUUGAUGGAUUUUUUCAUCUCACACAUGAUAAAUCACCGAUGUGAUAAGGAAACCAUCAUGCAAAAAUUUGAUUCGGUGUUAUAAUGAGAAUUAAAGUUAAUAUUUAUCUUGCCAGUGGGCAACAAAAAAAUUGGACAUACUUUGUAAAGAAAAAAAUACAAGCUUAAUAAUAGAAAAAAAUUAUAUUGAAAGUCCAUGCUUUGAAAAGAAAAUGUUUAGAGCACAUCUAGAUGUGUUUUAGUAUUGUACAUUUAAAUGACUCGAUCAAACAUAAAGAAGAAGGAAAAUACCGCCACGAAUCUUCACCUAAAAUCAAUGGCGUAGGACUUAUCUAGAUGUGCUUCAGUAAAACCAUAAAAAAAAUUCACAUUAAAAUGUAUAUAAUAGAAUAUAUGCGAGGAGAAUCUUAUUCCAUCUUCAGAGUGUCGUCACCAUCUCGCCACUCUGAGCAUGGCACAAACCCUAACAAAAAUAAAAAAAUCAUGAAAAAAACGAAGCCCUCCACCGGCAAGGCCAGGAUCCACCGCGUCUCCAUGACCCUAAGACCAUAGGAGACGAGAUAAGCGAUGGUGGCACCACCGGGAGGCGGGAGAAACCCUAGCUAGAGGGUCCUCUUUCUUCCAUCAAUCCUCUCUUAAUUCGAUGGAUUUUUUUCGUCUCACACAUGAUAAAUCACCCCGUGAUAAGGAAACCAUCUUGCAGAAAUUUGAUUCGACGUUAUAAUGAUAAUUAAAGUUAAUAUUUAUCCUGCCAGAGGGCAACAUAAAAAUUGGACAUACUUUGUAAAGAAAAAAAUACAUGCUUAAUAGAUAAAAAUUAUAGUGAAAGUCCCUGGUUUGAAAAGAAAAGGCAUGUUUAGGGCACAUUUAGAUGUGCCUUAGUAUUGUACAUUUAAACGACUCAAUCAAACAUAAAGAAGAACAAAAAAUACCCAGAUGAAUCUCCACCUAAAAUCAAUGACCUAUGACUUAUAUGUGCAAUGUAGGGCACAUCCAGAUGUGCUUUGCUUUAGCGAAACCAUAAAAAAAUCACAUUAAAAUGUAUAGUAGAAAAUAUUAAAAAGUUAGUGCACAGAUUACUUCUUGCUCCCCCACAAAUGUUCUUGGGUAACAGGCCCCCGAGCCACAAGGCCCAGCAAGAUCUGUGACUAACUUUUGCUCCCCCACAAAUGAGCUUGGGUGACAGGCUAACGCGACAAAGCCCAGCCACAGUGUUGCAAGAGCUGUCCUUUUAUUCCCGUGUAUGCGAACUAAAUAAGGCGAGGUGGGACUAAAAGUUGUGUCUGCCAACAAAUUCAAGGUACUAACGGGCUAAACAAACAACAGCUUCUCCAAACUGAAAGCCCAAGUAAAGAAUCUCGCGGCGUGACGGCCCAACGACGACGACGCGGUAAAACGGGGAGGCAAACGCCAAGAGAAGGCUUCCUCCCAAAGCCUUCCAAGCCAGACACACGGCCGCCGCAGCCGAGAUGGCCGCCGGAGAUGCCACCCACGCGCCGCCGGCCGCGGAGGCGCAGUCUCUGGUGGAUUCGUUCUGCGCAGUCACCUCGGCGACCCCCGACGAGGCGACCUUCUUCCUCGAGGGCCACAACUGGGCCCUCGAGGCCGCCGUCCGCUCCUUCUACGACAACACGGAAGUCGACGCCGAUGGCCCCGAUCCGGCACCCCAGCCCCCGCCAGCCGGUUCGCCUCCGUGCUCCUCACCACGCGCCACGGCACCAUCGACGACCUCCUUCACACCGGCGAGCUCGCGGUAAGCCUCGAUUGCCUGAUUUCUCCACUCUCUUAGGCUCGUUUCUUACUGUGAUGUUUGUGUUCAGUUAGGCAAAAUUGGGGAUCGCAAUCAACUUGACACUAUCUUAUCUCAGCUCAAUUUAGUCCGGACCAAUAACUUUUUAUGUUAAAAAAAUUAAGCAAGUUGGAACUGCGUAGAAUCGAUCAACCUGAUCUAUACUGGAUUUAAGUGCUGAAUUUUACUGGAUUCAGUUGCCUUCAUAGUUACACUUUGACUUCUCGGAAAAGAAAAAAAACACUUGCUCGGUGGUUUCUUGACAGGGUCCGUUGGCCUAGAUGAGAUUAUCUAGAAAUCCAAUAAUUGGGCUGGCUGACAUCUAUAAUUAAGUGAUCUCGAGUAGUAUCAUGUGAGAAACAGCAAAGCUAGUUAGGUGUGACGUGAUUCACUCUGCUGGGUGCUGGCGAUCAAUCUGUCGCUGGGCCUGAAAAUGGGACUUCAUUGCUAAUUGGGGCGCCAUCGUUGUAAAGGUACAAGUAGGGCCAUGAAUCAGUGAUAGUGCCUUAUUGAGAUCACAAACCAAAGGGGGUUGGAACAGUGUAUAUAAGGUGUAGAGCUCCUGUAGUUUUCAGAUUUUGUCAUAAUCGCAAACAGUGACCUCUAUACUGUAUUAACAAAUAUAACAUGAUUACAAUUCAAAAAAAAAUCUAAUAUGGUUAGAAGUUCUGGUUUCAGGGGCACUUCAGCUAUUUUGGAAGCACCACAGUAUUUAGGCCAACAUAAGCUGAUAUUCAGAAGAAUCACACUUUAUCUGAGAUUAUCUAGAAAUCCAAUAAUUGGGCUGGCUGACAUCUUUAAUUAAGUGAUCUGGAGUAGCAUCAUGUGAGAAACAGCAAAGCUAGCAAGGUGUGACGUGAUUCACUCUGCUGGCCACUGAUCUGUCGAUGGGCCUGAAAAUGGCACUUCAUUCAUUUCUGAAUGCUAAUUUGUGCGGCAUCUUUCAAAGGUGUGAGUAGGGCCAUGAAUCAGUGAUCUUAUUGGAAUCUCAAACCGAAGGGGGUUGGAACUGUGUAUAGGAGGUGCAGAGGUCCUUUAGUUUCAGAUCUUUUCAUAGUCGCAAACAGCGACCUAUGUGACAUUAACAAAUCUAGCAGAUCAUUACAAGUUCUAGUUUCAGUGUUACUUGCUUCGGCUAUUUGGCAGCACUACUGUAUAGGAUAAGAUGCUACUUAGGAGCAGCUAAACUCAAAACAGAUAUAUGUGGUAAACUUACGGCAUUUUGAACUGAAAAACGGUGAAAGAAUUAAGAAUUUUCGGACACAUGUUACUUACAUUGUCUCAGCUCUGCAUACUUGGCAACAUUUCCAAAUACUGGUCCUAAUGUAUCUUCAUGUUUAAUUCUGCAGCUAUGUUCAGUGGUGCUAAUGUCCGGGCUCAUCAUAAUCCUGAGCAGCGCCGCCAAGAUCACUCACCAGGUGCAGGCCCUCAUGGGCCAGACCACCAAGUGGCACGCCUGCUGCACCAUCGAGCCGGUCCCGGACGACGAGAUAGAUCCGGGAUCCAACCAGAACUCCAUGCUGGAGGAGUACCCCGAGCCCGAGGACGAGAGCGACUGUGAGUCCAGCGAGGAGACCGGCGACGAGGACAUGGUGGAGAACACCAAGUUCCUCCAGCCUCACAUGCACGUGAUCUCCUUCCAGAAGAGGCAGGCACUAGGUACGUAUGAUCAUCGACAGUUAUCAUACAUUUCGUCGAAUCUUGGGGCUGAUGGAAAACGCUGUUGCAGUGACCUUCCUGGAGAACAACAACGCCGGCAUCACCGUCUUCGGGUUCACGCUGGACCGGUCGUACCUCCACACGAUAUUCAUGCUCGAGUGGACGUUCUUCCUGUGGCUGCUGGGGAAAACAGUCGGCUUCUCGUGAAGACGAGGGACUGUAUGCACCAAGGUUCUAUUCUGUUCCAUGUUUUUUUGCUGUUGUGCUCCGUUUGAUCCUUGUGUGAAAAGAGAAGGAGCAGGGUUUUUUGUGUGCGCGUGCGGGUGGCACGUGAGUGGUGUGCACUUGUUCGUGUGUGUAUGCUAGCAGCGAUUUGGUAUGCUGAUGAUCCUGUAAAUUAUCAUGGGUUGAUUGCAUGUGGAUGUAAGGUCUAUGUACAGUGAUUAGAGCAUCUCGAUCUAGCAGACCUCGUAAAAGGGCCGAACCCGUAUAAUUCCGGCGAGUAUACGGGUUCGGCCUGUUUUUCUGGCCAGAGUAGACACCGUAUCCGCGGCCCGGCCCUAAAAAAUUUACUGUGGCCCGCAAAAAGUCUCUCCCCACCACUAUAUAUGCCCCANNNNNNNNNNNNNNNNNNNNNNNNNNNNNNNNNNNNNNNNNNNNNNNNNNNNNNNNNNNNNNNNNNNNNNNNNNNNNNNNNNNNNNNNNNNNNNNNNNNNNNNNNNNNNNNNNNNNNNNNNNNNNNNNNNNNNNNNNNNNNNNNNNNNNNNNNNNNNNNNNNNNNNNNNNNNNNNNNNNNNNNNNNNNNNNNNNNNNNNNNNNNNNNNNNNNNNNNNNNNNNNNNNNNNNNNNNNNNNNNNNNNNNNNNNNNNNNNNNNNNNNNNNNNNNNNNNNNNNNNNNNNNNNNNNNNNNNNNNNNNNNNNNNNNNNNNNNNNNNNNNNNNNNNNNNNNNNNNNNNNNNNNNNNNNNNNNNNNNNNNNNNNNNNNNNNNNNNNNNNNNNNNNNNNNNNNNNNNNNNNNNNNNNNNNNNNNNNNNNNNNNNNNNNNNNNNNNNNNNNNNNNNNNNNNNNNNNNNNNNNNNNNNNNNNNNNNNNNNNNNNNNNNNNNNNNNNNNNNNNNNNNNNNNNNNNNNNNNNNNNNNNNNNNNNNNNNNNNNNNNNNNNNNNNNNNNNNNNNNNNNNNNNNNNNNNNNNNNNNNNNNNNNNNNNNNNNNNNNNNNNNNNNNNNNNNNNNNNNNNNNNNNNNNNNNNNNNNNNNNNNNNNNNNNNNNNNNNNNNNNNNNNNNNNNNNNNNNNNNNNNNNNNNNNNNNNNNNNNNNNNNNNNNNNNNNNNNNNNNNNNNNNNNNNNNNNNNNNNNNNNNNNNNNNNNNNNNNNNNNNNNNNNNNNNNNNNNNNNNNNNNNNGGGAGCUCUGGGGAUGACGCAGAGCGUCGCGCCAGAUCCGACGCCGCACGCAAGCGGGGCGCACGGAGGUGGCUCAACCGCGGUAGCCGGUCGCCGCCAACGUUUGAACGCCGCGAGCUGGUCGAGUUCGAGCGCAAGCUUGCCCGCCGCCACCACGCCUCAUUCGGCUCCUCUGCCGCAGAGAGCUUGUCCGCGGGCGCCUCGAGCUCGUGGCUCAGUCCGAUGAAGAGAGAGCCGGAGGAACUCGGGCCGCUCGCCGUCAAGCUCGAGGCCGAGGCGCCGCCGCGUCGAGGAGUGAUUGACCCCAAGGACUACCUCCCCCCGGGGCAGGAGGAGCACCUAGAGCGUGUCGUCAUGGAGCGGUCGGCGAGGGAGCGGGAGGAGGGCGAAGUGCGCCGCCGACGCGAGCUCGAGUACGAGCAGAUGUUCCCCAGACGGGUGUUGCGGCGUUGCAGGUCCGCCUCCAUGAAGGUGGAGCAAGCCAAGUUCUUCAUCGACCUCGACCCCUCCGACGAGGACUUAGCUCCUCCGGCUCCUCCGCCGUGCCGUCGCUGCCGCGAGCUCAUCGAUUUUUGGUAUCUAGGCUCGGGCCCACAGAUUCCCCCACUAGUAUGAUCAAUGUAGAUGAACUAAUGUAUGAUCAAUGUCGUUGCAAGUUUCUCUGGCGAAUGCUUUUCUUAAAAUUUUACAGUUUCAUAUACGAGGUCUGAUCUGCAGCGCACGAAUUCAAUCCGCAAAUCUCAUCUGUCUGUAAACACAAUUUGCGGGUCGGCAUUAUACGAGGUCUGCUAGAGAUGCUCUUAGAUGGGUUGUCAGGACCCCGACUCAAUGCCACAUAGAUCUAGCAUGUAACCCUUCAUAUCACUUUGCGGCCUCACGCACGGUAUUCCCACGGGUGUCGCCUUACCUUUACCCGGGACCGUUUGCGCCUUUUGGCACACAUAUAUGACAGUGUCGCUAGCAUCCAUAUGAUAAGGAGCCCGGGCUGACAUGGCUAGUCGUAAACCUAAAGUGGCACAGACUUACAGGGACAGGCAUCCAUGACCCAGCAUCGAACGUGUCGGUCAUCAACGAGUGAAUCCAGGUUGUAGCACUGGGCUAGCAGGACUCCGGUGAACCGGGCUGUAGCGGGCUAACAGGACUCCGGUAUUCAUCGCGUGACAUUUCCCCGAAGGGACAGACACAGGAACGAAGAAGGACACAUGCCAGCCAGCCUAAGUGUUCCGGAGCAGUAGCAAGCUACCAUGGCUCGGUGGAAACACUAGGAGACAUUUCCCGAUAAGAGAGGCUACUAAAGAUAAACAACUAGAUAGUCAGAUCCCACACAUACCAAGCAUUUCAAUAACAUACACACAAUAUGCUCGAUAUGUGCAACCACAACAUGGCAUCACAACAUGACUCUACGACUCAAGUACUUUAUUCAAUAGGCUCCGAGGAGCGAGAUAUUACAAACAGGGGUCUCAUGACCCAACAAUCAGAGCAUACAAAUCAAAGCACAAGCGGAAGCUAUCAUGUCUGGGUACAGACAUCUAUAACUGAAAAAGGCUGAGAAGCCUGACUAUCUACCAGAUCCUGCCGGGGCACAAGAUCGUAGCUGAGGUAACAAGCUAAAGGUCGAAGUCCACGUGGAACUACUAGUGAGACUGAAGUCUCUCUGCAAAAACAUAAAUUAAGCAACGUGAGUACAAAUGUACCCAGCAAGACUUACAUCAGAUCUAUCUACAUAUGCAUCAUUAUCAACAAAGGGGGUGGUGGGGUUUAACUGCAGCAAGCCAGCUUUGACUCGGUGGCUAUCCUAAACUACGACUGCAAGCGACUCUUUUGAGGUGGCGCACACGAGUCCACAUAUUCACCAUAUCAAUACACCACUAUGGAUCCGCUCCCGUCUCCCUGCGAGAAGGCCAUCCAUAGCACUCACGCUUAUCUUGCGUAUUUUAGAGUAUCCACUUUCACUUGUCUAUGAACUGAUAUAAGCAACCCAGAAGUCCUUUUCCACGGACACGGCUAUUCGAAUAGAUCAUAUUAACCCUGCAGGGGUGUACUUCUUCACACACGCUCUCACCACUUACCGCCGUUUACACGACAUGUACUCGGCAACCUUCAAGCGGAAGCCCAACGUGGGUGUCGGCCACGGCCUACCUAAACACUCAAGUCUCUAGUCCAGGUUUAUCGCCUAUUCGGGUUCCAUCCAUGAGGAGAUCCGGCCGGAGUUUCGCUCACAGCCCCAAACGAUGUGAACAGGGUUCCCGAGACACCAAACGGGCGCCCGGUACACCGUGCCACGUGCCUACCGCAUCACAGCCCACCCCUACGGUCAGCGCUGCCCACGGCCUCCAGCAUACUACAAACACCAGAAACUACUUGCAACUCCUGGACAGAGGACAAGGGUGGUCAAGAAGCCGAGAGGGUCCAUUGGUUUCGGGCCCAAUGCGUGGUAGUAGCUGAAUCAUGGAUCACAAACACAGAACUCAGUUCCUGAGGACGGCUGCAAUGAGACAACCCACCAUGUACUCCUACAUGGCCUCUCACCGCUACCUUUACCAAAUCGUCUUCACACACUUAGCUCACACACAGUAGGACAUGUUCACACGCCUCUGAUUCAUCCCCGAUGAAUCAGACCUGACUCAACUCUAAGCAGUAGCAGGCAUGACAAACAAACAUGAAGGAGUAGGCACAACAGGGCUCAAACAACUCCUACUCAUGCUAGUGGGUUUCAUCUAAUUACUGUGGAAUGACAGGUCAUGCAGAGGAUAAAGGGGUUCAGCUACCGCAGCAAGUAACAGAUGAAUCGAUGUUGUCCUAAUGCAGUAAAAGAGAGCAGGAGCGAGAGAGUGGGAUUUUAUCGGAAUGAACAAGGGGGUUUUGCUUGCCUGGCACUUCUGAAGAUAACAUUGAGUCUUCAUUAGUGUCAACGAUCACAUCAUCGGUAUCACGUCUAUCGAGAGGGGACAAAUACCGGCAACACAGAAGGGAACACAAUCAAUGCAAUGCACAAUAUGAUGCAUGAUCAUGACAUGGCAAAAUGAAUGCGUUUUGGGCUAAUGCAACUAGCAACAGAUUAAAUAAAGUUGGUUUGAAUAUAAUAUUCAAAUUCAAACUCCAUAUGUGAUUAUUCAAAUGCCAUUUAAUUGAUUUGUGCUAAACAGCAGCUAUAAGUUGUUCUAACAUGCAUGAAAAUGGUACAGAUGGAUUCCUUGAAUUUUUCUGAUAAUUUUUCAUAUAUAAUUUAUUUAAUUUGGAGUUACGGUUAAUUUUCUAUGAUUUAUUGAAGUUUUAGGCAUUUUCUGGAAUUUCCUGAAUAAUAUAAAAUAAACUAAAUUCCAGAAAAUGAAUAUUGCGUCAGCAUGACCUCAUAGUGACGUCAGCAGGUCAACGGGCGUCGUCCAGGUCAAACUGACCUGUGGGCCCUACGUGUCAGUGUCUGGACUAAUUAACCUAAUUAAAAUUAACCCUAACUAACUUAGUUAGCCGGGCGGGGCCCGCAUGUCAGUGAGUCAGUGGCUUAACUAAAUUCGUUAUUAAAUUAACCAAAAGUUAGCAGGGGACGGGCCCACACGUCGGUGACCCAGGGGGGUCAAAUCCCUGGUCAACCGGGCUAAUCCACCGGCGUCUAACCGCCGGCAACGACCAGACGCGGCGGUGGCUCGCCGGAAUGGCUGCUCCGGCGCCCAUUCGACGCGCGGAGGGGUUCUACAGGGAGCUCGAGCUCGUGCGCAUCCAAUGGAGCAAACCCGAGGAGCUGGGAUGGCCUGAGUCGACGGCGGCGAGCUCCAAGGCGACGGCCGGAGUUCGGGCACCUGCGGGUUUGGCGUUGUGGUGCUCGGGAGGGGAAGCUGGUUGGUGUGUUGGGCUCCUGGGGGCUUUAUGAGCACGGUGAAGCACUCCGUCGUGGUCAUGCGCGGCUAUGGCCACGGCUGCGCCAUGGCCGGCGGCGAGAAGCUCUCGGCCGCGACGGCAUCGGUGUUAGAGGAAGAGAUCGGGCCAGGGAAGAGGGGGAAACAGCACAGGAGCUCACAGCGGGUGCAGCGGUGGCCUCGGCGAGCUCGGGGAGGCACCGGAGCGAGCGAAGCAUCGAGGGGGAUCUCCGGCGGCCGAGGUCGGAAACGGCGGCACUGGCAAGGCUUCAGGGCGUCCGGCGUUGCGUAGCUCAGCGAGGAGGUCGAGGACGAUGCGUCAGAGCUUAUGGAACUGGCGGAGGGGCGAGGGAGGGCUGGUGGCUGCGGCUAUAGCGAACGGCGGCGACGGUCGCUCUCGGGUGCGUGCGAGAGAAAGAAUAGAGGAGGAGAUGGGGACGAGGGAGUGAGCGGGAGGGUUCCAGGGGUCGAGGCGGCGCCGAGGAGAAGGCGCGAGGCGUCAUGGUGGCCUCAGGCGAAGCAGACGAGCAGGGUGGUGGCGUGGCGAGCUCGGGCGCGUGCGCCGAGUCUCUCCUCUGCCUACUGGCGCGAGGAGGAAGGCGACAGGGAGGAGGAGGUGGGCUGGGCCGCACAGUGCUGGACCAGCACAGGAGCUGGGCCGGCUCUGGUGGGCUGCACGGGUAAGGCCAGAUAGGCUUUGCUCUUUUUAUUUCUUUUUCUUCUGUUUUGUUUUUAUUUAAUCUUUUGCCACUGUUUUGAAAUAAGACAAAUUCAAAGACAGUGACAAAAUUCCCCUGAACAUUUUAUUUAGCACAAUGGAAUUAUACCAAAGCACAUAAAAAUGUUUCAGUUAUUUGAACAUAUAUUCAGUAAUAUUUGGAUAUAAGUUCAAAUUCAAAAUAGUAUUGAUUUAAAUUCAAAGUCUCAAAAUAAAUCCUUUUAAAAUGUUCAAUAUUUUUGGUUUGGAUCAAAACCCUUGCCAAAAAUAUUAAACAUCUAAGAAGAACAUUUUGGAACAAUGAAUGAGAUUUUAGGGUUUUUGCCCUUCUUUUAUUUAGGGUUUUUGAGGCUUCUGAAUUCCUCAGUUCAAGUUUUAAAAAUUUACACAUGAUGCACAGAUGGAAGCAAGCACAGGACAGGCCAGAGCUAGGGAUGUGACAUGGGUGCUGUAGAGAUAGCCUCGUGCAUCGCAGGUUGGCAUUGCAGGUUUAUAAUCUCGGGUUGUAACUUGUAAGCCAGCAUCAGUUGUAGAGCAGGUGUGUCAAAAGAAAAACUCUUUCCUUUAUUUAUUUUUGAACCGAAAACCGUAGAACAAUUGUUCUAUGGUAUAUUUUCAUUAAAAUAAAAUAAAAGUAUGUUACGAGGGGAUCAAAAGAUCCCUAAAUACAAGGAAAACUUUGUCAAUUCCUGCUCUUGGAAGCAUUAGAGCUGAUUUAAAACAUGUUAUCUAGCCACUGUUUGAAGCUUUGAAAGUGCUUCGCCUUUAGCUUGUGCUGUAGGAGCUUCUGAUCUUGCUUGAGGUGAAAACGCCAAAAAUGUACCGUAUGUGGCAGACCUCUGAAAACUUUCCCAUUUCUCUUAUUCCAAGUAUUCCAGCAUCCAAGAAUAACUAUUUCUGUGGCAAAUUGUUGUGGAAGUUUUUCUAUCGCCAGUAGUGUUUCCUCGUAUAUUGAAGUACCUCUUGCCUUAUGGGAAUUAGAGUGUUCCAACAAUCCUGUGCAAAAUUACAGUCCCAAAGCAGGUGAAGGGUUGUCUCUUCAGCAUUCUGAUUGUAGUUUCGGCAGUGAGGAUUGUUCAGUUGCAUGCCUUUUCUCUGUAGGAGUGAUCUGGUGUUGAUUCUACUGUGGGCUACUAACCAGAAAAAUAUCUUAUGUCUGAGUCUGCUAGAGCUCUUUCAAGUCAACUUGAAGAUAGGGUGUACCUCCUCAUUACCCAUUAGGUGUUUGCACAUGUGCAUUGAAGAGUAUUUAUUUUGAAGGCCAUUGCAAGUCCAUUUAUCCUUCCCAUAUCUGUCCGGAGAGGGGAUAAUAUCCCCCAAGUUGAAUGAAUUGAUUGUAGGCUGUGUUGGAUAAAGGAGUGUGGAACUGUUCAAUCCAGCUUCCAGAGUCACAAAAUUCUUGGACAGACAAGGAGCCCCUAAUAGCAAAAGAGUGCAGCUCUCGGAAAUUUUGUUCCAAUAUAUCUCCUUCCUCUUUCCUUUAUUUUGGUUCUACCGGCCUUUUGUUAUCCUCAAGAAAAUGAUUUGUGCUCCAUAUAUCGAUAUGAAUCCUAUGGGAUAUGAUGGUAUUUCAUAUUCAGUACAAAUAUAAUAGUCGAAGCAUUGCAAUGCAGGUGAGGGUGGUACAUCUAAU
Molecule: long non-coding RNA, 64914 nt
Filed under: Triticum aestivum (bread wheat)
Lineage: Eukaryota; Viridiplantae; Streptophyta; Magnoliopsida; Poales; Poaceae
Description: long non-coding RNA (TAES_LNC015063)
Source: RNAcentral